This 88043-nucleotide long non-coding RNA is filed under the name Malus domestica (apple). RNAcentral's name for it is "long non-coding RNA (MDOM_LNC005454)". Lineage: Eukaryota; Viridiplantae; Streptophyta; Magnoliopsida; Rosales; Rosaceae. The record is from RNAcentral.
AAAACCAAACUUACAAUUAUACACAACCAAAAAGGGCCAAAACCAACAGAAAACAAGAAAGGGGCCCCACAACACUGAAGCCCAAAAAAACACAGAACAACCAACCGAGAAGCUUCUACUGAAAUCUCCUCCACCGACAGAGAUCCAAGCCAGCCACCGGAAACGUCAUCCAUCACCGAGCAUCGCCGCCUCAGACAACACCGCCAACCCCGAACAGCAACCAGAUCACAGCCAUUAACAGGAGAUAAUUGGCACCAAACAGGGAUUACAUUGGAGUUGCAUAGUACGAACAAUUCGGACUUAUUACAUUGAGGUUACAUGUCACUUACAUGCGAAAUUUAGUAUGACAGUAUCACGAUACGAGGAUAAACCAAUUUAACAUUUGAUUUCUCUCCUCCCACAUUUUCCUUUCACUAUGUCUUAUCGAAACUCAAACAUCUUGCAUUGGCAUCGCCCUCAAAUGCUCGGCCUCACGUUAAGACGAGACGCCAGUUUUUGACCAAAGGAUCGGUCAGCCUGCAUUUCAAUUACCACCAGCACACGUCAUAUUCCCGUACGAAAUCACAUCCAACUAUUACCAAUUCACAAAUGCGAAUACUUUGCAAGUAUGCACUCACCUGAGACCAGUAUGAGAUCCAAAUGCUGCGAAUUUCAUGGGUGACACGAGGUUCGGAUAGGACAUCAACCCAUCGGUGGAGGAAUCGCUCUUGCCUGCAAUGAACAUUUAGAUUAUGAAAAUGACGUUUAAAUACAUAUAUUUUCCACAUAGAGACAUCAUAGGGUUGGCAGCUACCUGUCGGGUGCCCAAGAUCUGUAUCUCUCUCCAGGUUGCUUGAAGUUGUUCUCCUUCUCAAUGACGCACUGCAUAUCCAACCAAACCACCAUACACAAAUUAAACGCAAAGUUGCUACAUGAAUCAUGAUGUGCAGUACUCCAAAAGGAUUCAGACAUGCAACAAGCAUUCGUGCAUGGCUCUAACUUUUUACAUUCCAAGUGCCUUCAAGUUUCACAUAAAUAGAAAAACACAGAAAACAAGAACAUGGGGAAAACUAAGGGAAAUUAAAAUGAAUUCUUUUACAGUGAUACAAACUGACCUUCUCACGCUUUCCAGUGCAGAUAUUAGAAGGAAUUGGGAAGGUCUCAGCAUGGCGAGCAGGAUCAUACCUUGAUGGGAAGUAAUUAACCUACAGAACAGUAUGGCAUCUAAGCAGAGAAAACUUCGAUGAACAAAAAGCAAAAAUUGAAGUACAUGUCUGAAUCUUGGUCAAUGCAAGUGUAAAAAGACACAAAGGCAUUCAAUAAGCCUCAACAAUCGAGGGAAAAAGUGGUAUUAUACUUGGAAAGGAAAUUCUAAAAAGCAAAAGUACCUCCUCAUCCCUAUGCAUGAAAUUCAUAAAUCCUUCAUGGUGAUUGUUGUGUGAUGAGAACACUUGGGAGCAUUAACUGGGAGCUGCAAAUAGUUCGGGCCAAGACGGUGCCUCUGAGUAUCAGAAUAGGAGAAGAUUCGAGUUUGGAGCAACUUAUCAUCUGAAUAGUAGACACCAGGGACAACAAUGGCAGGGCAGAAAGCAAGUUGUUCAUUCUCUGCAAAGAAGUUAUCAAUGUUCUUAUUCAGUACCAAACGGCCAACCGGCUGCAGGGGAAGAAUAUCUUCAGGCCAGGUCUUAGUAACAUCAAGUGGGUCAAAGUCAAAUCUGUCUUCUUGAUCAGGAUCAAUUGUCUGAAUAAAAAGUUUCCACUCCGGGUAGUUGCCAGCUGCGAUGGAGUCAUAGAGAUCCUUGGUAGCGUGGCUGUGAUUAGCUCCUCCAACCUUAAUAGCCUCAUCCUCCAACAAACACUUGACUCCACAAGUGGGUUUCCAAUGAAAUUUCACGUAGUGUGCCUUCCCGGCCUUACUGAUAAGAGUAUAGGUGGUUAACACCAGACCCUUCCAUGUGCCUGUAAUCUUGUGGAACUCCCAGGUCAUCCAACAGGAAGGUGAACAUGUGGAGGCUUUCUGGAUGGUGGGAGAAGAAGUCAAGGAUCCUCCAAUUCUCUUGGAUGUGGGACUUAGGGUUUGGUUUGAGAGCAUGGACCAUGUCCGGGAAUUUCAUUCCAUCGCGGACAAAAAAGAUGGGGAAAUUGUUUCCCACCAAAUCAAAAUUACCCUGUUUAAGAAAAAUAAAGUCACGAGCAUGGGUAAAGAAAGGAAUGCAUGUAUAAACAAGCAAAAACAUUAGGACCAAAUGAUUUCCAAGAGUUAGUUAAUAAUAAUGUUACAAAGAAAUCAACAAUCUGUAGAAUCAAAACAAUAUUUAAAAAAUAAAAUAAAAGGAUGAAUGCCAUAUUUCAUGGAAGUCACAACACUACUGGGUUUAGUUAAAUAUGACUAAAGUACUUGUCACUGGAGCUGUGACUAGAGAUACCACCGCAUAUUUUUAACUACAAAUAUGCUGUUGAAUAUAAUUAUGAUCAGCGACGUGUGAAACUCAACUAUCAUUAUCCAGAGGUCAUAAAAGAUCAAUAAGCCAUUGAAACCUCACCUCUCUGGUGUAAAACUUCACCGCAAAACCACGAGGAUCCCUCAGGGUUUCAGGGCUGCCACGCUCAUGGAUAACAGUGGAGAAACGCACAAUGACAGGUGUCUGAACUCCAGGGGCUCGAAGGAAGUCAGCACAUGUAAGGUGAGAAAUAUCAUGGGUGACCUCAAAGAAACCUUUUGCACUGGCUCCCCUAGCAUGGACAACACGCUCUGGGAUCCGUUCUCUAUCAAAAUUGGCGAGUUUCUCCACCAGAUGGUAGUCCUCGAGCAGAAUUGGACCUGACAAGUAGACAAAGAAUUAAAUUCUUAACUGCAUCUACUCAACUCGACAUAAUCAACCAUCCCGAUUACAUGCAAAAGAUGUGAUAAGAAUGAAACUAGCGGUUAUACAUUUUAUAAAGUAUGUCAAAUAUAGAUGACUGCUAUCACUUGCAAAGAUAGUAACUUUUAUUUAGUUUCAGGCAACCAGACGAUCAAAAAAUCUAUCUUGACAACCUGAGAGGCAAAGAAAAAAAGGGACCGGCAGGAAUUCAUUGAAAACCAACAGACUGGGAACUAUAGUUGAGAAAUUUAAACAUAAAUGCCGAAUAGGGAAAGUUCUAACUUCAAAAACAAACUAUAUAAAUAAGUAAAUAUAUAUAAAUAUAUAUCAGAAAAACAACAAGAGUUUCAAAAUAGCAAUCAUCUUCAACUUGGUAGUGAUACAAACAUCCAAAAAGUCAUCUUGUAGUUCACAAUAACAUGGACAGAAUAUCGAUGCAUACACAGAUUACAGCAUCAAAACAUGAUUAUGAUUAUUCACAAGGUGCUCGAGAAGCGAUGUGCAACUAAAAAACCACAAAAAGGUAAAACUUGAAGAAAAUUUGCAAUUGAAAAUCCGUCAAAAGCAAAUAAACAAAUAGAUAAAUCAAAAGUGGAUUAAGAAUUAAAUCACCUCUCGGUCCAACAGUGAGAGAAGAGUUGUUGUUCCAAACUGGAGCACCGGAAUUGGUGGUCCAGAACGGGGAAUUGAAAGCACUUGAAGGGCGGUGCUGCAACACACACGAAAACAAACCAACCCAAAACCAUUAGAGAGGGCUUUGUUUGGUGGCCGAGAAAAUAAACAAGAAAAGUAAUUCAACAAGAAAAUCAAACUUAAAUCAAUCAAAUUAAGAGCAUAAACAAGUAAAAAAGAAAAAACCCCAGAAAGAUUAAGAUUAAGAUUAGCGUGUUACCCUGUAAGGAUCCAUGGAGGAAGGUCGGGUUAGAGAGAGAGCUUGAUGGAGAAGGUAAGAGGUGAGCAGAGGAAGGGGGUAAGCCACUCACUCACUCAGAUGGGGCAAUCGAAGGCUGAAAUGUAAGCAAAUUUGGUGGAUUUAUAAACGCUGACUUUCGGCUUUGGGUAUGGGUCGUGGGCGUGGCUCACGCUUUUGUGUGAAAUUUCCAUUUUCCGCUCUCGGCCUCACGUUAUCUUUAUCCACACACACACACAGCUGGAAGGUCACUACGUAUCUUUGCCAAUUUAUCGUCACUACAUAUCUUUGCCUAUAAACUACGUACGCAUCCGCAUGGCUAUAAAAGUAUGACUACACAACAUCUCGCAUAGAAACAGUGAAAAUCGGUGCCUGCAACCGGCACUUGUUACAUUUUUUUUUUGGAAAAAGUUUGACUGUAGUAAAACUACGUCAAAACUUCCUCAACUUUUAUUAAACAAGUCCAAAAUUACAAGUAAACAAGAAACCCAACUUACAAUUAUACACAAUCAAAAAGGACCGAAACCAACAGAAAACAAGAAAGAGGCCCCACAACAAUGAAGCCCCAAAAAAAACACAGAACAACCAACCGAGAAGCUUCUGCUGAAAUCUCCUCCACCGACAGAGAUCCAAGCCAGCCACCGGAAACGUCAUCCAUCACCGAGCAUCGCCGCCUCAGACAACACCGCCAACCCCGAACAGCAACCAGAUCACAUCCAUUAACAGGAGAUAAUUGGCACCAAACAGGGAUUACAUUGGAGUUGCAUAGUACGAACGAUUCGGACUUAUUACAUUGAGGCUACAUGUCACUUACAUGCGAAAUUUAGUGUGACAGUAUCACGAUACUCAAAACAUCUUGCAUUGGCAUCGCCCUCAAAUGCUCGGCCUCACGUUAAGACGAGACGCCAGUUUUUGACCAAAGGAUCGGUCAGCCUGCAUUUCAAUUACCACCAGCACACAUCAUAUUCCAGUACGAAAUCACAUCCAACUAUUACCAAUUCACAAAUGCGAAUACUUUGCAAGUAUGCACCCACCUGAGACCAGUAUGAGAUCCAAAUGCUGCGAAUUUCAUGGGUGACACGAGGUUCGGAUAGGACAUCAACCCAUCGGUGGAGGAAUCGCUCUUGCCUGCAAUGAACAUUUAGAUUAUGAACAUGACGUUUAAAUACAUAUAUUUCCACAUAGAGACAUCAUAGGGUUGGCAGCUACCUGUCGGGUGCCCAAGAUCUGUAUCUCUCUCCAGGUUGCUUGAAGUUGUUCUCCUUCUCAAUGACGCACUGCAUUUCCAACGAAACCACCAUACACAAAUUAAACGCAAAGUUGCAAUAUGAAUCAUGAUGUGCAGCGCACCAACAGGAUUCAGAAAUGCAACAAGCAUCCAUGCAUGUAUCUAACUUUUUACAUUCCAAGUGCUUUCAAGUUUCAAGUAAAAAAGAAAAUGAGAAAUUAGGUUCUCAUCCUUCAUUUUACUAUUUCAUUGAUUAAAAUUCUAUUUAUUUUUAAUUUUUUAUCAAGAUCCUUGGUAUUAAUAAUAUCAUUAAUUAUUUCAAUACUAAAAUAUUUUUUAUUUCUAAAUAUAUUCAUUUAAUGUUAAAAUGUUACAAUUAGUAUAUUUAUAUUUAUGACUAAAUUUUUUAUCAUAUAUUUUUAGUUUUAGUUUGUACCCUUUUUAAUUUGUAAUUCUUUUUUAAUUUGUUCUAAUUUUCUUUUCAAUUUUAAUUUGUACCCAUAUAUUAAUUUUUUUUUGUGCCCAUAUUUUUUAAAGUUUAUUUUUAUUUGUACCCAUAUUUUUUUUUAUACUUUUUAUUUUGCUAAAUGUACCCAUGCUAAUUAUAUGUACCCAUUCAUGUAAAACUUUUUAAUCUUAAAAUGUACUCAUUCUUAAAUAUACCAAUUUGUUAUAUGUAAAAUGUACCAUUUUUUAUAUAUAAUCUAUUCAAUGUUUUAAAUCCAUUUUUAAACUUAUAUGGGUACAUUCUUUUUUCUUUGAUUUUAAAAUGUAUCCAUGUCAAGUUUAAUCGAAGCAAUUUACUAAUGUUAUUAAGUCUAAUAUCUUUUUUUUUUGUUGUGAUUUUGAAGAAUGUACCCAUGUUUUGAUACAAUCAUUUUUUUGGUUAAUUUUGUUGAAUGUACCCAUGUUUAUAUAUAUGGGCACACAAUAGUAUAUUUAUAUUUUACUAUUUUUAAUCCCACAAAUUAUAGUUUUUUUUAUUUAAAAUCUCAUUUAUAUAAACUAAAAUUUCAAAUUUUUAAUUUAAAAAAUAUAGUAACAUACAUAGAAAUAAAUUAUCGCAUUGAUUUCAAGAACCUCAAUCAAAAAUUAAAAACCAACAAUUUUUAAAUCAAAGAAUAUUCAUAGUUAAGGACCGCAUCCAAAGUCUCCCGGAGAAAUUAGGUUCUAAUCCUUCAUUUUACUAUUUCAUUGAUUAAAAUCCUAUUUCUUUUUAAUUUUUUAUCAAGGUCCUUGGGUAUUAAUAAUAUCAUUAAUUAUUUCAAUAAUAAAUUAAUUUUUAUUUCUAAAUAUAUUCAUUUAAUGUUUAAAAUGUUACAAUUAGUAUAUUUAUAUUUAUGAUUAAAUUUUUUAUCAUAUAUUUUUAGUUUUAGUUUGUACCCAUUUUUAAUUUGUAAUUCUUUUUUAAUUUGUACCAAUUUUCUUUUCAAUUUUAAUUUAUAUCCAUAUAUUAAUUUCUUUUUGUGCCCAUAUUUUUUAAAGUUUAUUUGUAUUUGUACCCAUAUAUUUUUUUUAUUUAUACUUUUUAUUUUGCUAAAUGUAUCCAUGCUAAUUAUAUGUACCCAUUCAUGUAAAACUUUUUAAUCUUAAAAUGUACUCAUUCUUAAAUAUACCAAUUUGUUAUAUGUAAAAUGUACCAUUUUUUUAUAUAUAAUCUAUUCAAUGUUUUAAAUCCAUUUUUAAACUUAUAUGGGUACAUUCUUUUUUCUAUGAUUUUAAAAUGUAUCCAUGUCAAGUUUCAUCGAAGAAAUUUACUAAUGUUAAGUCUAAUAUCUUUCUUCUUUUUUUUUGUGAUUUUGAAGAAUGUACCCAUGUUUUGAUACAAUAAUUUUUUUGGUUAAUUUUGUUGAAUGUACCCAUGUUUAUAUAUAUAUAUAUAUAUACACACACAAUAGUAUAUUUAUAUUUUAAUAUUUUUAAUCCCACAAAUUAUGGUUUUUUUAUUUAAAAUCUCAUUUAUAUAAAUAAAUAAAAUUUCUAAUUUUUAAUUUAAAAAAUAUAGUAACAUACAUAGAAAUAAAUUAUCAUAUUGAUUUCAGGGAUCUCAAUCAAAAAUUAAAAACCAACAAGAUUUCAAUAAAAAAAUAUUCAUAGUUAAGGACCGCAUCCAAAGUAUCCUAAAAGAAAAACACAGAAAACAAGAACAUGGGAAAACUAAGGAAAUUUAAAUGAAUUAUUCUACAUUGAUACAAACUGACCUUCUCACGCUUUCCAGUGAAAAUAUUAGAAGGAAUUGGGAAGGUCUCAGCAUGGCGAACAGGAUCAAACCUUGAUGGGAAGUAGUCAAUCUACAGAAAACAGUAGGGCAUCUGAGCAGAGAAAACUUUGAUGAACAAACAAGUGAAAAUUUAAGUAGACGUCCGAAUCUUGAGCAACGCAAGUGUAAAAAGGGUAAAAGGCAUUCAAUAAGCGUCAGCAAUUGAGGGGGAAAGUGGUAUUGCACUUGGAAAAGAAAAUCAUAAGAGCAAAAGUACCUCCUCAUCUCUGUGCAUGAAAUUCAUAGAUCCGUCAUAGUGAUUGUUGUGAUGAGCACACUUGGGAGCAUUAACUGGGAGCUGCAGAUAGUUGGGGCCAAGACGGUGCCUCUGAGUAUCAGAAUAGGCGAAGAGUCGAGUUUGGAGCAUCUUAUCAUUUGAAUAAUAGAUACCAGGGACAACAAGGGCCGGGUUGAAAGCAAGUUGUUCAUUCUCUGCAAAGAAGUUAUCAAUGUUCUUAUUCAGUACCAAACGGCCAACAGGCUGCAGGGGAAGAAGAUCUUCGGGCCAGGUCUUAGUAUCAUCAAGUGGGUCAAAGUCAAAUCUGUCUUCAUGAUCAGGAUCCAUUAUCUGAAUAAAAAGUUUCCACUCCGGGUAGUUGCCAGCUUCAAUUGAGUCAUAGAGAUCCUUGGUAGCGUGGCUGUGAUUAGCUCCUCCAACCUUAAUAGCCUCGUCCUCCAACAAACACUUGACUCCACAAGUGGGCUUCCAAUGAAAUUUCACGUAGUGUACCUUCCCGGCCUUGCUGAUAAGAGUAUAGGCGUGUACACCAAAGCCUUCCAUGUGCCUGUAAUCUUGUGGAACUCCCACGUCAUCGAAUAGGAAGGCGAACGUGAGCAGGCUUUCUGGAUGGUGAGAUAAGAAGUCAAGGACCCUCCAAUAUUCUUGGAUGUGGGACUUAGGGUUCGGUUUGAAAGCAUGGAUCACGUCCGGGAAUUUCAUUGCAUCACGGACAAAAAAGACGGGGAAAUUGUUUCCCACCAAGUCCCAAUUACCCUGUUUAAGAAGAACAAGGUGACAACAUGAGUAAAGUAUUUGUCACUGGAGCUGCCUGUGACUAGAGAUACCACUGUGUAUUUUUUACUAUAAAUAUGUUGUUGAAUAUAAUAUGAUCAUCGACGUGUCAUUAUCCCGAGGUUAUAAAACAUGAAUAAGCCAUUGAGACCUCACCUCUCUGGUGUAAAACUUCACUGCAAAACCACGAGGAUCCCUUAUGGUUUCAGGGCUGCCACGCUCAUGGAUAACAGUGGAGAAACGCACAAUGACAGGUGUCUGAACUCCAGGGGCUCGAAGGAAGUCAGCACAUGAAAGGUGAGAAAUAUCAUGAGUGACCUCAAAGAAACCUUUUGCACUGGCUCCCCUAGCAUGGACAACACGCUCUGGGAUCCGUUCUCUAUCAAAGUUGGCGAGUUUCUCCACCAGAUGGUAGUCCUCAAGCAGAACCGGACCUGACAAAUAGACAAAGAAUUAAAUUCUUAACUGCAUCUACUCAACUCGACAUAACCAACCAUCCCGAUCACAUGCAAAAGUCAGAGAAGAGUUAAAUCACCUCUGGGUCCUACAGUGAGAGAAGAGUUGUUGUUCGAAACUGGAGCACCGGCAUUGGUGGUCCAGAACGGGGAAUUGAAAGCACUUGAAGGGCGGUACUGCAACAACACACAAAAACAAACAAACCCAAAUCCAUGAGAGAGGGCUCUCUUUGGUGGCCGAGAUAAUAAACAAGAAAAUCAAACUUAUAAAAAAAAAAUUCAAAGUAAGAGCAUAGACAAGCAAAAGAGAAAAACCCCAGAAAGAUUAAGAUUAAGAUUAGAGUAGUGCCUUGUAAGGAUCCAUGGAGGAAGGUCAGGUUAGAGAGAGAGAGAGCUUGAUGGAGAAGGUAAGAGGUGAGCAGAGGAAGGGAGUAAGCCACUAGCUCAGAUGGGCAAUCGAAGGCUGAAAUGCAGGCAAAUUUAUAAUGGUGCUCCCACUUUUGUGUGAAAUUACCAUUUCCAGCUCUCGGCCCCACGUUAUCUUUAUCCACACACAGCUGGAAGGUCACUACAUAUCUUCUCUACAAUUUGUAGUCACGAGUCGGAAUGAUUAUUGAGAGAGAGCGAGGUGGAAGAAUUCAAUGUGAAUAAUUGAGAACGACAAGCAUUCACCGUUCUUUAUCCUAUUUAGAAAUUUUUAAUUGUGACCGGAAUACACAACCACUGAUGCCGGGUGACACUGUCCGCUCCUACAACGACGCCACGUAUACUAUAAACACUUUGAAACGUGUACUCUUUGAAAUUACAUAAAGACUAAUCCGAUUCUCGGAUAUGCUUUGAAGACUUGAAUUAGAAUAUUUUGGUGGUUUAUUAGAGGCAUCUCUUGAAGAUUUAUAUAAAAGAGUAAAUAGUCUCUUAACUUUAACCUAAUUGUAACUAUAGUCCUUCAAACAUAAUUCAUUUUGACAAAAUUCUGACGAAAAUGACCAUAACUACACGUUUUGAUGAGUUGAGGGACCAAUGACAAUGAAUUUUUAGUUGAGGGACUAUUCCUACAAUUUACUCUAUAUUAAACAAUCAAAACUCUUAGAAUGGAUUUUUAAUGGGUCAGAAAUAUGGUUCUGUACACCAAGUAUCAUUAUAUUAUGAGAUAUUUUCUGUCAAUUAAUAAUAUUAUGACACUAGUAGAUUGAACCGUGUUCUCGACAUACUGAAAUGUUUAUACUAUUUUAAAAGGUUAAAUUUAGCGACAUAGUAUUACUGUCUAAUGGUAUUCCUCCUCACUUGUAAGUGAGAGGUCUUAAGCUCAAUUUUCGUUAUAUGAGGCUAAGCCCAUCUUCUCUCUUCUAAUAUUGAUAAUAUCGUUUGUUAAAAAAAAAAUCUCUAAUAAAUGUUGUAAAAGACUAUUUAAUUAUAGCAAAGGAGCAAUCAUUUUUGGAAUUUAGGAAGCAAUAUUCACUUGUUAAAUAUUAAAAAAUAAAUAAAACUAGUGGAGUUUUUUGUUUUUUUAUGAAACAAGUAGAUUGGGUUUGUUAAUAUUAAAAUAUUCAAAGUCUGUUAAAAUUUCGGCAUAAAAAGUUAAGCUGAGUAGCUACUAUAAUUUUUUUGAUACAGUUCACUUGCUCGUUUAACAAAAAUUUAGUGCUUUCUCUUAAAGAUGCUCUUAGCUAGUUUUUACAAAAACAAACAAUAUCACUUUGUACUACAAUUUAUUGAUACUUUUGUUAAUUAUAAAGAAGGAGUAUUAGUUUCGACUUCCGUAGAUGACGAGUUAACAGUAAAUUUUCUUAACUGACUCAUUGUGUAAAAUAACAUAAUGACCGUCACAUCCUGGCCCAGGCCCCCACCACAUCCUAGGUUAGCACGAUAUUGUCCGCUUUUGGCCCCUACCACGCCCUCGCGGUUUUGUUUAUGGGAACUCACGCGAGAACUUCCUGGUGGGUUUAUGGGAACUCACGCGAGAACUUCCCGGUGGGUCACCCAUUCUGGGAUUACUCUCGCGUGAACUCGCUUAACUUUAGAGUUUUGAUGGAACCCGAAACCAGUGAGCUCCCAAAAGGCCUCGUGCUAGAUAGAGAUGAGAAUAUAUAUAUAUAUAUAUAAUAUAUAUAUAUAUAGGCAAUACACUAUGUUAUCCACCUAGUGAAUAGUAACUGCAUUUUGCAUCUCUACCGUUGCACUUCAAUAGCCCUGUCAAUAGGCAAUAAGAUAUUAGUAUUUUUUUAUUUAUAAAAUAAUUUUAUUUGUAAUUCGGAUAAGAUUUUUAAUCGUUUUCAUUGCACCACGUGUCAUAAAAUCCGAAAAGACAAUUAUCGGUGAUGGAUUUCCAAUAAAAUUUUUAAUCGUUCUCGUUGCGCCACGUAUCAUUAUCCGAAAAGUUAUAAAAUAAUACAAAAUAAUUUUAUUUGUAAUUUCGGAUAAGAUUUUUAAUUGUGCGCCACGUGUCAUAAAAUCCAAAAAGAUAAUUAUUGGUGAUGGAUUUCCGAUAAGAUUUUUAAUCGUACUUGUUGCGCCAUGUGUCAUUUUUCGAAAAUACAAUUAUUGGUGAUGGAUUUUCGAUAAGAUUAUUAACCAAUCACGUCGCGCCAUGUGUCACAAUUUUUUAGGAUAGAUUUCCAUCAUUCUUGGAAGCACUCCCUUUUCUCUUUGAAGUCUUCUUACCUUGAGGCCUAAUUGGAUAACGGGUUGAUCCCGAAGCUUGUUCAGAGGGGCGCUUCAGACACUUCUUCUGCUUCAUCUUCAUGAACAUGCGAGGCAUGAUCGGGUGUAGAGUGUAGAGGGGUGUUGUUCAUGAAAACUUUUGGACCGACGUGUAUAACUUUGAAUUUAGGACAAUCUUUGACAAUAUUCUAACAUUCCCACCGGUUGAAUGAUUUAUUUUUACUUUUGGUUUUGGCACCAUAUCAAACUUGUGCUUGAAGUUGCUACACAAUGCGGGAUAAGAAAUAAUUAUAAUGAAAGUAGGUAACAAAUAAAUAAUGCAAACAAAUAAUUAUAAUGAAAGUAGGCAACAAAUAAAUAAUACAAACAAAUAAUUAUAAUGUAAAUUUGGGUAUAGUACAAACAAAUAAAUAAUAUAUUGUUACCUAAUCUGCGUAAUUUUCCCCACUUUGAAGAUUAGUACUAGCUUGUGUCAAUGCGUCUCUCCACGUACUAAACGAUUGGCUAAGUAAUUUCCAAUGACUGGACAUCGAUUCUUUGGUUCUUUUCCCACCCAUUUUCUCAAGAUAAUUGGUAUAAAUAAGACUCCACAUUUAUCGCAACUACAUCUCAUUAAGCGAACUAUGAGUAACUUCAACCCAGCUAGUACACAACGCAACAUCUUCAAUAAACAUCUAAUUCGUACCUGCAUCAGUAGUCAUUUUGUUGAAAAAAAAUUGGAUUGAAACUUUGAGAGAAAGAUAAGAAUGUGGUCGAAAGUAGUUGAGAAAAUAUAAAAUUGUGGUGCAAGGUAGAUGAUAAUGAGAAUGUAUUUAUAGAAAAGUAAAAACAAUUUUUGUUUUCGGAUUUUUAUUCAUUUUUUAUUCAACUAAUUAAUCUCUGCUGUUGGAUUUAAAAAAAAAUUGAAUUCCAACACUCCAGAUUGUGUCACGUGGCACAACGGUAACAUUUUUGAAUUUUAAAACUAUUUUUUCUUUUUUUAUUUAUUUAUAAAGAAGAAUAAUAUCAACCGUUGAUCUCAGAUCCAACGGUUGAUAUUAAAUAAGAUUUUUUUAAUUUUUUUUACCGUUGCAAAUUUGACGGUCCACAUUUUCUUGCCGUUGAGAUCCAAUGGACCAUGGGAAGCCAUCUGGCUUCCCAAUGGUAACAAUUUGAAACUGCGCCGCGGGCCCCAUUCGCUGAAAACAUGUCGGGUGACGCGCCCCCACGUGCGGGUGCAGUGCACACGCCUGAUAGAAAAAAUAUAAAAAAAGGAUGAUGCCUGGCGAUGUCAGCCUUGCGUCAGAUAGCCUUCGAGCUCGUGACAGGCCUGAUGCUCAGGCAUGCCCUGUCCUUUGGGCUCCCACACGCUGGAGUCCCCGGGCCGUAUUUGCUAGCAUGUCCCCCGAGCUCCAGCCAACGCUGGAAGUGCUCUUAGAGGAUCCACUCCCCUGGGUGAUGUGGGAUGUUACAAUGACCACUAGUAAUAUAAUUAUAUUAUCUUAAUAAAAAUUAAUUUAAUUUAUGUGUUUUUAAUUUGACUAAUUUAAUCCUCGUAUUAGCCUUCGUUAACUAAUCUAAGACAGUAUCCAUUCAUAAUUCUAUAAAACUUAAAUAAAAUUGAUUAUUACAAAAUAAAUUAAAAAUAAACACGAUAACCAAAUUGGCAAACUGACAACACAAAAACUAAAUGGGGCCAACACUAUAACCUAAAAAACUCCCAAAAAAUAAUAUUAGAAAAGUAGUGGACUUUCUAUAUUAGCACCUUACAAAAUAUUGAAUGCACCCCACAUUAAAAUUUAAUAUUAAAUGAUUUAUAUGCAAUGGCAAAUUUGACAUUAUUAGGUUAAAAAAAAAAUUCUAAAUACACCUCAAAUCAUUUUUAACAGAUUAUUGAUCUUCUUCAACUAUCCAAAAUCCCUUCGACGCUGCAUUGUUGAACAAAACCCUAACUAAUGAAACUACAAACAUGUUGAUUGAGAAAAAUUAUUUUUGACGAAUGAAACACAAAAUCAAUUUUUCGGAAGCUUCAAAUGAGGUAAGACUUCAUAUUUUUUAUUGUUUUAGUGAUUUUGACGACAUCGAUAAUUAUUUAAUCUUACAUUUGAUGCGUUAUUCAAGUUUCUAUGUUCAUAUUCAUCUUUUAAGGAUCACAGAGAUUACAUGAAGAAUUAAACAUUUAAAAUUACCACCAAAUAGUAAAAACAGACGACAUGAGCUUUAAUGGUGGAAUUGAAAACAGUCCACAUAUGCUUUAAAUCCUAGGCGGCAUCUUUUGUCAAAAUUUCAAUCGGCAUUUUUUGUCCAAAUUAAAAGCUUUAUAAGAUUUGAGAAAUGUGGGGUGUAUAGAAAAUAAGGAAAACAAAUGAAAAUGACUUGAAAACUUUGAGUUUUAACGAUAAGGACAAAAUAAAGAGUAACGUGAAUAGUAACAUGUUUGACUUUAGUGUAAAAAUAUGAUUUUUCGUUAAAGUGAACAGUACCGGGAGCUUUUCGUUAAAGUUUCCAAAGAUAAUUAUUCAUUGAAAAAAAAAAGUGAAGGUGUAUUAAGUAUGUAUGGUUUAUUCAAUAAUUUAUGGAGUGUUAAUAUAAUAAGCCGAAGUAGUGUGUGAAAGUUGCCAAAUACUACCAAUAUGGUGAUAAGGUUGGAAUGGGCCGUGAAGUGAGAUUAGCCACAAAAGCCUGUACCUCUCUGGCCCACUCCAAUUUUGCUACAUCAAACAGCCACAAAAAAAAAAUCACUUUCAUGGCUCUUGCUUCUCUCCGUAAGCUCAUUUAGACUUUUCUUCUUUUUAUUGGACCACUAGUGUAUGGGCACUCAAAAAAUGUGUGAGAAAUUUUUUUAUUUUUGUUUUUAAAAUAGAAGGAGAGAGGAAGAGAGUGAUAGAGAAUGUGGGAGUGUGAAGUCUUUUUUUUUUUUUUUUUUUUUUUUGGAGAUGCGUUAUGAUUACAUGUAGGUGAGGCUUUGAAAAAAAAAAGCAAAUUAGUUUGUGUGAAUACAUUUCUAUCCAUAUUUCUAUUUAUUUUUUAAUUGAGGGUUAACUGAUAUUUCAUAAGGUUUUAGUUGACAAUGAGUGUUUAUUAAUUAGUAGAGAUGGACUACAAUUAAACUAGGAGUAAUUAGGUUUUCAUCCUUAUUUUUACUACUCUAUUGAUUAAACCUUAUUACUUUUCAAUUUUGAUUCAGGUCCUUUGUAUUAUAAUAUCAUAAUUAUUCAAUAAUAAAUAUUUUUAUUUCUUAUAAUUCAUUAAUAUUAAAAAUUGUUAAAUUAGUAUAUUUAUACUUGGCUAAAUUUUUUAUCAUAUUUUUAUUUUAGUUUGUUUACCCAUUUUUAAUUCAACCUUUAUUUAUGUACCAAUUUCCUUUCAUUUUAAUUUGUACCCAUAUAUUAAAUUCUUUUGUGUCCAUAUUUUUUAAAGUUUUAUUUGUAUUGUACCCAUAUUUUUAUUUAUUUGUACCCAUUUUUAUUUUUGCUAAAGUACCCAUUUUGAAGAAUCCAUGUUUUGAUACAAUAAUUUUUUGGUUAUUUAUGAAUGUACCCAUGUUUACACACACACACACACAAUAAUAUAUUUAUAUUUUAAUAUUUUUAAUCCCACAAAUUAUGGUUUUUUAUUUAAAAUCUCAUUACUAUAAACAACUAUAAAUUUUAAUUUUUAAUUAAAAAAUAUAGUAACGUACAUAGAAAUAAAUUAUCAAUUAAUUUCAGGGACUUGGAUCAAAAAUUGAAAACCAAUAAGGUUUCAGUCAAAGAUUGUUCUUAACUAGGGACCGCAUCCAAAGUCUCCCAUUAAACUACUAUUGUCCAAUUUAAACUCUCGAUUUCUUGUGUAGUAACUGUCAUUCUCACAUGUAUAGCAGGUGUGACAUUUCUUUUUUUCAUACAAGCGAUACUGGAGAAUGAGAUUUGAAUAAAAGACCUCAAAACAAGGAUAAACGCUAUUAACCACUUGACAUACAAGUCUCUCUGCUGGUGAGAUUUCUAGUUUAUCAUUAUUUAAAAAAUUGUUUGUCUAAACAUCAAACCUAAUCAAAACUGAAGCAAAGCAUUACAACCUCCUCUGCCGUAGAAAGGACACCAAAAAUGUGAAAACAAAGGUAUAUGUAGUCUGGACAAUUUUGGAGCAGUAAUGAAUUGAAUUGAGAUAAUGCACAGGUAAGAGUAAAACCCUACUUGUUGCUCUUGUUGGAGAAAACGCCAUGAGUGACAUAUUGCAGUAGACGAGGCAGCGUCAGUUUCUCGAUAUGAACUUCACAACUAACGAUACAUAUGUGUUUUGAAUGCUUUUCAUCUUUGCAUGUACAAUAUCAUUUUAACCUUCUCUCAGUUAUAGUAUUGUUUUGCAUGUAGUUCAACAUUCAAGCGAACAUGGUUUUGGCUUUUCAUUCAUGAGUUAUGGGUUUAAAACUCAUUGUUGUAAUAGUUUUCAACUCUUCCACUCCUCUUAAUAAUAAUAAUAAUAAUUUAAAAAAAAAAUAGAGUAUUGUCUCAUCAAAGAAAAUCAACCGAAUUUCACAAAUUUUGUACCCACGUAUGAGAAGAAGAAAUUUGAGUUUGUCUUCGCUUAAAUGACAAAUCAGAGUGGGAACUCGAUUUUAUCUUCGCUUAACAAGCUCUUAGCGUGGAGUGUGAUUGGAGAUUAAAUUUUUACAUUUUCUCUAAAUCUAGUUAAAAGCUCAUUAAAAAGUCCAUUGAAUAUGCUUUUAGUCUUAGAAUAUCUCUAAUCGUGUAAGGAAGAGAAUUCAUUUUAAUGAGUCACAUAGGCAAACUAGCUCCAAUGUAAUAGGCAAUUGAUAAAUUUUGACCAUUCUCUCAAAGUAGACAAAUAAGGCCCCACAUUUAUCUUCAUGAUAAAAGUGGAGAAAAAUGACAAAGCUAAAAGAUAAAAAAAAGAUGUCAUAGAUGAAAGAAAUAUUAGCGUGCAGGAAUGCGAUAUAUGUAUGUAUGGGGGGAGCUUAAGGGAGGGGAUCCCCAUUUUUUGAACAAAAUGGGGAUUAGGUGUGGGGCCCACUCCACAUCCAAUUUCAACGAUCCGAACCGUCUAUUUUGUUAGUCUCGAUUCAUAGAUCAUCCUUGCAAAAAAUUAGCUAAAUUGGAAAUGUUUAAGACAUCUAAUUGGGUUCAAGGAAAUGAACGAAUAUUUUGUUAUAUAAGAAAAAAUGAAAUUUGAUCUUGAUAAUUAAAUAGGCAAAUGGUUUUGGAUUGAAUUGAAUUUUUGCAAAGAUGAUCUAUGAAUCGAGACUAACAAAAUAGACGGUUCGGAUCGUUGAAAUUCGAUAUGAAGUGGGCCCCACACCUAAUCCCCAUUUUUUUCAAAAAAUGGGGAUCCCUUCCCUUAAGCUCUCCCUGUAUGUAUGUAUGUAUGUAUAUAUGUGUUAGAAUGUGUAAUGGAUUAUUAUUAUAUUAUUAAAAUAAUUACCACCAAAUAGUAAAAACAGACGACAUGAGCUUUAAUGGUGGAAUUGAAAACAGUCCACAUAUACUUUAAAUCCUAGGCGGCAUCUUUUGUCAAAAUUUCAAUCGGCAUUUUUUGUCCAAAUUAAAAGCUUUAUAAGAUUUGAGAAAUGUGGGCUGUAUAGAAAAUAAGGAAAACAAAUGAAAAUGGCUUGAAAACUUUGAGUUUUAACGAUAAGGAUAAAAUAAAGAGUAACGUGAAUAGUAACAUGUUUGNNNNNNNNNNNNNNNNNNNNNNNNNNNNNNNNNNNNNNNNNNNNNNNNNNNNNNNNNNNNNNNNNNNNNNNNNNNNNNNNNNNNNNNNNNNNNNNNNNNNNNNNNNNNNNNNNNNNNNNNNNNNNNNNNNNNNNNNNNNNNNNNNNNNNNNNNNNNNNNNNNNNNNNNNNNNNNNNNNNNNNNNNNNNNNNNNNNNNNNNNNNNNNNNNNNNNNNNNNNNNNNNNNNNNNNNNNNNNNNNNNNNNNNNNNNNNNNNNNNNNNNNNNNNNNNNNNNNNNNNNNNNNNNNNNNNNNNNNNNNNNNNNNNNNNNNNNNNNNNNNNNNNNNNNNNNNNNNNNNNNNNNNNNNNNNNNNNNNNNNNNNNNNNNNNNNNNNNNNNNNNNNNNNNNNNNNNNNNNNNNNNNNNNNNNNNNNNNNNNNNNNNNNNNNNNNNNNNNNNNNNNNNNNNNNNNNNNNNNNNNNNNNNNNNNNNNNNNNNNNNNNNNNNNNNNNNNNNNNNNNNNNNNNNNNNNNNNNNNNNNNNNNNNNNNNNNNNNNNNNNNNNNNNNNNNNNNNNNNNNNNNNNNNNNNNNNNNNNNNNNNNNNNNNNNNNNNNNNNNNNNNNNNNNNNNNNNNNNNNNNNNNNNNNNNNNNNNNNNNNNNNNNNNNNNNNNNNNNNNNNNNNNNNNNNNNNNNNNNNNNNNNNNNNNNNNNNNNNNNNNNNNNNNNNNNNNNNNNNNNNNNNNNNNNNNNNNNNNNNNNNNNNNNNNNNNNNNNNNNNNNNNNNNNNNNNNNNNNNNNNNNNNNNNNNNNNNNNNNNNNNNNNNNNNNNNNNNNNNNNNNNNNNNNNNNNNNNNNNNNNNNNNNNNNNNNNNNNNNNNNNNNNNNNNNNNNNNNNNNNNNNNNNNNNNNNNNNNNNNNNNNNNNNNNNNNNNNNNNNNNNNNNNNNNNNNNNNNNNNNNNNNNNNNNNNNNNNNNNNNNNNNNNNNNNNNNNNNNNNNNNNNNNNNNNNNNNNNNNNNNNNNNNNNNNNNNNNNNNNNNNNNNNNNNNNNNNNNNNNNNNNNNNNNNNNNNNNNNNNNNNNNNNNNNNNNNNNNNNNNNNNNNNNNNNNNNNNNNNNNNNNNNNNNNNNNNNNNNNNNNNNNNNNNNNNNNNNNNNNNNNNNNNNNNNNNNNNNNNNNNNNNNNNNNNNNNNNNNACUAUAUUUAUACAAUUGACGCUUAACAUCUUUCUUGACAAGGACUUCGCAAAUUUACACAGGAGGUUUUUUGUCAUUUAAGCCAUCUAUUCCUAAGAGCUUGUUGCUAGAUGGGGAGCAUAAUGUUAAAUCACAUUUUACUCUUAUUAAUCACCAAGUAUGUAUGUACUAACCUGCUUCCAUAAACUUUUUACAUUGUGUGGGAGCGUAUCUUAGUGUUACAUCUUAUAAUUUUUAUUCUAAAUGAUUUUGUUCAGAUAAAACAAACAAGAACGGCUCUUGCAAUUGCUUCUUUGUUGAAUCGCACCCUGGUAAGAAAAAUUAUAUAUCUACCCUUUCUCUUUUAUUUUAGUCUAUUUUUUGGACUGAAAUGUUCUGGUGAUAUAUGUAAGAAUAAGGUUGAGAAUUAGACAGAAAAAUAACUUUGAAGCACGUUAAUACGUUUUCCUUAAAGUGAUAUUUGCCCCCAUUCUAAUAUGAGUUAGCUAACAGGUCUAAAACAAAUCACUUCCAGGAUACAACAAAGUUUAGAAUUUUAGUUUAGCAAGAACUGAAAUUCCCUUAAAAUAUUCUAAAAUGAAACUGUAUGAUUUUGAUGGAGAGAAAGAUGAUAAGAAAAUAUUGUUUGAAGAAUUGUAUAUCCAAAUAUGUAGCCGACAUAGGCUAUAUAGAUACUAUGGAACCCUUUGAAGAUGGAUCAAAGUGUGCAUAUAAAAAGUCAUGCUCUUUCCUGCAUCAUUACCACCGAAUGGAUACAUCUUUUAAUCAAACUCGCACCCUGCUGCAUCCUUUCAUUUUCUAAAAAGAUGCAAUCCCAUUGCUAGUGACAUGGAACUGCAAGAAGUCAUAACUUUCUGAUUUCAUAGUAAGAGACAUAUCCCUUAGUUGUACUUCUUCAAUCCAAGAGACAUGGAACUACAGCCAUGCUUCUUCAAUUGAAAAGACACGUCACUGCAGCCAUACUUCUUCAAUACAAGAAAUAAGGGAAUGCAGCCAAUCUCUCACGCAACAUCAUGUGUGUGUACAUAUAUAUAGGAAAAUUAGUAUUUGAUCCUUAGUUACUAAUGUUCUUUGAUUGAAACCUUAUUAGUUUUCAGAUUUUGAUCAAGGUCCCUAGGAUUAAUACAAUAAUGAAUUUACAUGUCAGUUACAUAAUUUUUAAAAUAAAAAUUAAUAAUUGAUUUAGGAACCUUUAUUAAACUCCUAAAUAAUUUUCAAUUCAACACAUUUCCAAAAUAAAAAAAAAUUAGAAUAAGUUUGUACCCCUUAAUUUUUUUAUAAAAAGGUUUCCAAUUUUUUAAUCUUAUAUGUACCCAUUCAUGUAAUUUUUUAAUUUUAAUCUUAAAAUAUACCCAUUCUUAAAUAUAUAAUUUGUUUAUAUAAAUGUACCAUUUUUUUUAUAUAAAAUCUAUUCAAUUUUUUUUUCUAAUCCAUUUUUAAACUUAUAUGGGUACAUUAUUUUUUCUUGAUUUGAGAAUGUAUCCAUGUCAAGUUUAAUCGAAGAAAUUUACUAAUAUUAUUAAGCCUAAUAUCUAUUAUUUUUUUGUGUGGUUUUGAAGAAUGUACCCAUAUUUUGGUACAAUAAUUUUUUUGUUAAUUUUAAUGAAUGUACCCAUGUUUACACACACACACACACACACAAUAUAUUGGAGAGUAUAAUUUAUAUUGUAAUAAUUUUAAUCCACAAAUUAUGGGGUUUUUCAUUUAAAAUCUCAUUAAUACAAACAACUAUAAAUUUCAAUUUUUAAUUUAAAAAAUAUAGUAACCUACAUAGAUGACACAUCCCGACCCGGAAUGUCCACAAGGACUUCGAAUCGAGCUGUGUUGGCCGACACCUGGAAAGUGAAGAAGCCAUAAAGUGUGACGAUGUGGAAAAAUAUGAAUAAAUUUGAACCUACGAGUGCCUAAAUACCAGAAUGCGCUGGUGAGCGGGAAUGAAUCCACUUUACACGUGACGUUAGAGCAUAAGUAAGUAUAGUAGAGUGGAUAAGGAUUAUACCCUUAGAAGUAGCCAUCUAUCCUGAGAUUUGCCAAGAAUCCUCGUCGAUACGAACAUUCAGCAAUUAAAACCUGGAGCGGCGCAACACAGAAAGUGUGAGUGGGAAAAAACAAAGUUUUACAAAACCAUUUCACUUAUCAAAAGUAAUAAUCCCUCACCGUAAAGCCUGAAUAAUUUCCUAGAAAAUAGAAUACAUAUCUAUAUUGAAACCAUACUCGGAAUAGCAAAAUCCACACGUAUGCCAUCCCCAAAAUCUCAACAUAAUGAAAUAAGUAAACUAGGUGAAAUAAAUCCAUGAAAAGUAAUAUGUCAGCCGGAUCCACCUAUUGCGGCCUGUAAGACUGAACCUAUAGCUCAACCAAUAUCCAAGUAAUAUGUCAGCCGGAUCCACCUUUUGUGGCUUGUAUGGCUGAACCAAUAGCUCAUCACAUAUCCAAGUAAUAUGUCAGUCGGAUCCACCUCUUGUGGCUUGUACGGCUAAACCCAUAGCUCAUCACAUAACCAAGUAAUAUGUCAGCUAGAUCCACCUCUUGUGGCAUGUACGACUGAACCCAUAACUCAUCACAUAUCCAAGUAAUAUGUCAGCCGGAUCCACCUCUUGUGGCCUGUAUGGCUGAACCUAUACCUCAUCAUAUAUCCAAGUAAUAUGUCAGCCGGAUCCACCUCUUAUGGCCUGUACAGCUGAAUCCAUAGCUCAUUAUAUAUCCUGCACACGAGUCAAAACCACCUCUAGUGGUCUGUACGACAGGACUGGGUGUAAAUAAGUACGCUCAAGUGCUACGAUCACGUGAAGACUGUGCGAAUAAUGGCGGGUCACCUACGAGUCGGAACCACCUAUAGUGGUUUGUAUGACAGGGUUGUGCACCUACUUUGGAUCCAAUGUGAGCGUAAGGUGCAGGAGAUGAACAUCAUGUGAAGGACUGUGCCCUGGCCACAGGCAGGAGCACUAACACCGGGGUGCAGGUUUUUGAGCUCUAACUGCAUUUAUUAUAACAUGUACGACUCAUGGACAACCUGUACGACAGUGUCAGAGUUGUCUAUCAUUGCAACCUGUAUGAUAAGGUCGGAGUUGCCUAAAACAUACAUGUAGUCAUGCCAUAACUUCAUCAUUUCAACUAAUACCAUAAACUCACCUGAACUUACCUGGGUCUCCUACGUUCACCUUUGCACUUCAAAGCGUUCACAAUAAUUAUGUGCAACUAAUAUACAUAUGGAUAUACCAUGAUGAAAUCUAAUACUCAACCAUGUCAUAGCAUUUUCAAUUACACACACACACACACACACACACACACACACACACACACACACACACACACACACACACACACACACACACACACACACACACACACACACACACACACACACAUAUAUAUAAUAUGGUAUAAAAUGCAUAAGCUGUAACGCCUUACUCCCGAACUAUUUAUUUUAGGGAAUAAUUAUCCAUGAUAAGCCCAAUUAGACACUAGUUUAAUUAACUAUCAUUACUUACGUUUCCUUACUUCAAUUUCCUGAUUUUUCACACAUGGAUUUAUGAACAACAUUUAACCACCAAAUCAUGAGGUUAAAUCUCACAUUUUCCACCAAUCUCCUUCACAUUGCUCAAUUCCCCAAACAAGGCUAUUGUCUCAAUUAUUUAGUCUCAUUUAUUGUAUGGUUGCAUCUAACGUUUUGUUAGAUUGCCUACGUACCCUAAACAGGGGUCAAUCCAUUCGUAGUUCACACUAGUACUUCAAAGCAUUCACAGUAAUUAUAUGUAGGUAAUAUGCAUAAAUCAAUUUAAAAACGUUUGUGGAAUCAUCAAUCAUAUAUACAUAAUAUACACGAUAAAAAGGAAAAGACCCACUCACCUGAGGUCCGCACUACGAUUCCCUAGCAUGCAUAUCGAGACAUCACGAACCAAUGUCGCCUAGAACAAUUAUCAAAUCAUGUCUCAGAGUUUUUACCUAUAGAAUACAUAAUUUACAGAAAAAACACAUCCCUACAUAAUUCACUCCUGAAGAUUUGCAUCACGGAUUUCCGAUCCGUUACUUCUAAAGAUUCACAUUAUGUUCCUAGAACCACGUCCUAAUAUUUCAUUAUGAUCCAACGGUCGGAUCUCCGCCAAUUGCCAAAACCAAGUGGCAGUCAACAUUUUAUUUUAUGAACUUACAAAUCCAAUUCAGGAAGAUCCGUAAGUCGGAUUCCCAAUCCAUAAGUUUCUAUGGUCCUCAAAUAUUACGUCCUAUAAUGUAUUAAAGUUUGGUAAUGAUCCAACGGUCGGAUCGUCGAUUCAUACUUUUACCAAAUAACGUGACCUAGAGAAUUUAGGUUCCAACCAUCAACAUAAGUCAUACAGUUACCAAGAAUGAACUCAAGGCAUCUAAUUUAGCCUAAGAAUGACAUUGACGGCCCCCUGGCCACGCGCUGCAAUGGGUGGCGAUCGGCCGCCCCAACUCGCUGGAAAAUCCAACUAUUUCUAAAAAUUACCAAAUUUUACAGAAAUGAAGAUCUCAAUGAGUAGAACAAGUUUUAUACAUGUGGCUAAGUCCAAUUUAGCCGGGAAAGGCUCCAAUUUCACUCAAACCCGUCGGAAACCCUAAGAUGGGUAUUCUUCAAUUCGACAUCCUCGAUGUUCCAACACCCCUACAGCUCCUUGGGUCUUGUUCCUGGGUCCAAGAGGAGUUGAUUAAGGGUGGUGGCGGGUGGUGAAACUCACCGGAUCAGAGGAAUCACCGUCGAACACCUUCAGUGCUCCGAUGAUGUUCUUCGCGUUUUUGGGCCCAAAACUCUUCAAUCUUGAGCGAAUAUGGAAGAAGAAAGAUUGGGGAAGAUGUUGCAGGUGGUGGAUAUGGUGUUCCACAAAACAAAAUGGUAGAAAUUGGCCGGAUUUUGACUGGUUUGGGUGUACGGGUGCACUGCCCGACAGGAAGGUUUCUUCUCUUUUUUAUUUAUUUAUUUAUUUAUUUUUCCCUUCUCCCUUCCUGAUUGGUUCUCCUUUUCCUCGCUUAAAAUUGAUUGGUUACCACUCCCACAUGGUGGGAGUUUGAAUUAAUUUAUAACUAAACUUUAAAUAACCAAUUUCAAAUGUCUGUAACUAUACUGAUAUAAUCCGGACUCGCAAACAGCUUUCGCCUAUGCGUUUGUACCAACGAGUACUACACAAAUGCACUAAGUGAAUAAGUCAUACGUUUCUCUACACGUUGGUCAAUGAAAGCCAAAACCUUCACCUUUAAGGCAUUUUCGUAAAUUCAUUCUUUUAAAAUUUAUAAAAUCGUAGAACUAGGGACGGGUUGUCACAAUCUAUCCACCUUAAAAAAAUUUCGUCCCCGAAUUUUGAAAUCAUUAGCUAAACAUAAUGUACUUCAGAAGAUAGGAAAAAGUAUAUAUACAUAUAUGGAAGGAGGAAAUCAAGGUAGAGCGGUUGCAUAACAGAGAAUGUCAUUCCGUCGCGAUUAGAGUGCAUUAAUUCCUCUUUCAUGCCUCCAAACUCAAACUUUCCUUCUCCUAUAGUACAAUACUAAAAUAUACAAUCCUUUAUAAAACAUAAGGUAGAAAAAUAGAUGUAUAACAACGUAAUGUCGAAGCACGUAUAUAAUAAAGUGAAGUUAAAAUAGUUGUACUGAAAACAACACCAAAAAUAGAAAACUUCACCUACACACCCAUAUGCGUCACGCGCCUCAAAGAUGAGUGUGUGCUAUCUUUGGAUCAAGCCCAAACAAUAAUUAAAUAACUAAACGUAGAUAGACCUAGAUGUCUACUUGUUCAACAAAUUCAACACUUAAGUUUUCAAUAUUACGAUCAGCAGCCCGUAAUACCAACAACUCACUAUUGUUCCGAUAAGUAAGUAACAGAUUCUUGAGGGUGCAAUAUUACCAUCAUGCCCCCUAGACCUGGCAUUCGUGUCGUGUUUUCCAUGUUUGUGUCGUUUUCGUGUCAUACCUGAUAUCUUAACGGGUCAUGUCGUGUAACACCCGUUAAAAUAAACAGGUAAAAUGACCCGACCCGAUAAUAUUAACAGGUAAUAUGACCCGACCCGUUACCCGUUAAGGAAAAUAUAUUUUAAACCAAUAAAUAAUCAAAUGAAAAACAUAAUACUAAAUAAGUAUAUACAUACCAUAUUAUCACAGUCAAAACAUAAAAACGCAUUUGUCUUUCAAGUAUUACAUAUUUACAUACCCAAAAUAAGAGCAUAAUAAAAAUAAAAAAAUUAGAACAUUACAAAAUAUCAAAUGUUCAAAAGAUUUGCAAAAUUAAGGGAGUUAUGUUUCAAGGUUUGGAACCUUGCACAUUUUCUUACAAUCAAACUCUUCAUUUUCAUCAAUCACCAUGGGAAACGGUAUUGGAACUUUGGCUUGAUAUAUUAUCUUCAAGAGUUAUAUUGAUGAUAUUUUCAAUGAGGCUUUCUACAUUAGCACUCUCUUCUCAUUUAUCCUAUAGUUAUUGUUUAAGUAAAUUCUUUAAUAGUUUUUUAAUUAAUGUAGAAGUGUGAAAAAUAUAGAAAAGUAUAUAAACGCUCGUAAUGACAAGCUUUACAACUUUCAUGAAGGGCUUAACUUUGAAAUGUGCCACUAUAAUCAUAUAAAUCAUAGAUCAAAAUUUAACCGUCGAUUGUUGUUUACAUUUAUGCUUCAUUUUUCUCACCAAAUUUUGUUUUUUCAAAUUUUGUUUUUUGAAAACAUGAUCUAUUAGAGGAUACAAGAAGAUGAAUGGUUCAGAUCGUUGGUAUUAUGUUCAAAGUUUUGCCGUUAGUGAAAAUAUUGCUUGGUGUUUAUAAAGUCUCUACAAAAUAUAUAACAUCGACUCAUAUUUCAAUUAACCGUAAAUAUCGGGAUAUGAUAUCAAAUAUCCGCACCGUUCAUCUUCCUACAUCCCCUAGAAGAUCAUGUUUUCAAAAAAGAAAAUUUAAAAAAUGAAAUUCAAUAUAAAGAAUAAAGCCUAAGCGACAAUCGACGGUUAUAUACAAAUUUAAGGUUUAUGGAUUAUAGUGUCGGAUUUCGAAGUUGACCCCUUCAUGAAAGUUGUAAAGCUUGUCAUUACGAGUGAUUGUGUAUAUAUAUAUAUAUAUAAAUAUAUAUAUAUAUAUAUAUUUUUUUUUACAUUUCUUACACUUCUACAAUAAUUAUUAUUAAUUUUAUUACUUUUACACUUAAAUAAAAAACACUAUUCAUUAUGGUUGGAGGGUUUUAAAAAUCUAAACGAUAAUGUAAGUGUAACCAUUGUCUACUCAUGGAGGAAUGAUGAAUCACGAGUGUUUAUAUAUUCUUUCACAUUUUCAUACAUGUAGGGAUGUCUUAUUGCCUAUACUAAUACUAUACUAGUUGAUUUUAAUUUUGGACAACAACAUGUUAUAAAAUUUAUCCUAUUAAUGAUAAUAAGAAACUCUCAUAAUAAAAAUAAAUAAAUGAAUAAAACUUAAUUUUUUUAACUUAUAUAGAAUAAUAAUACAAAAAUAUAUAUUUAAUAUAGAAUAUACCAAUAUAUACAAUAUGGCUAUUGUAUUUUAUAAUAAAUUUUUUAGUAAUUAAACUUUAAAAUUAUAAUUCAUUUUUCUUAACAGGUCAAAACAGGUUACCCACGUGUUACCCGCGUGUAUAAUGGUUUCUUUAUGGGUCACCCGAUAAUGACCCGAUUAGUUAUCGUGGUGACCCAAAAUCCGUUAUUUUCGUAUUGUGUCACCGUGUCGUGUAAGAAACUGCCGGGUCUAAUGCCCCCCAAUGGGAAAAUACGUAUAAAUCAUCUGAUCCAAGUCUUGAUCGUGUUCACGCACUACCCUUACGAGUAACAUCAACAAAUAUCAUAAUCUCGAUCAUUCAACUAUGGAUAAAAUUUUCGGUCAUGUGCUAUGGAUAAAAUUUUCACAGUACUUCUUAACAAUGCCAUACUCGAAACCAAAAACUGUAACCGUAGUUACAACCAACUAAAAAAAAAAACUAUUUAUUACAACAUACACACCACAUAACUCAACAAUGCAAUUCAUAACACCAUAAUGAGCAUAUUCCUAUUGAAUUUCUCUCGAAUUUAGCGAAAAUUAAGUCAAGACGGCUAACAUAAUACUCGAGAAUUUGAGGGUCAAAUAAGUCCAUCAAAUUUUAAAUACAAGGUAAUUGAAAUUAAUGUAUAACAUCUCGCUACAACGGUAGCUUUUCGAACAUUCAAUCACCAACGAUUAAGAUUCGUUUAGUAGAGUGUUUGUUGGGUGAUUGAGAAUUUAAUGUUCACAACUAAAUGUCAAUGUCCAAGCAAUCCUCUAGACAAUUUGCUUAAUUCAAAAAUAAUACAUAGUGAUAAAAAAUGUAGUCCCUCUGGACCAAUGAAAAAAAAUGGGUUGACUUGUCAAGUUGAUAUAUAAACAUCGAAACAUCAUCAUCAUCAUCACUACAUGUACAAGAUACCUCGUUCCAAAGGUGUAUGAUGAUAUUUCUCAACUCCCUUCAUAUACAAGAAGUGAUUAUGACCAUUCAAACCCUUUCUUGAUAUUUCGCAAGUAACGUCAAAACAAUACCUGUGAAUUCCAAUUGAGGCAGAAUAGGACAGGUCAGAAGUGUUCAAGUAUACAUAAAUCUUUUGCUGCAUUAAAUAGUAAUACAUUUGCACAAUUGUGAUAAUCAUAAAAGUUGAUUUACUUCUUCCACUAAUGCUGUCAGAAUUUAACCAAUUUCAAAUGAGACUAUAUUUGAAAAGUCCAAGAUUGAUAAAGGUCUCUAACACGUUUCUCCACUAGGAAGUAUCAUUCGGUUUUUCAAAUAAAGAUAAUAACACUUUACUCUAGUCAUGAAUAAAAUGGUUCAUUUUGGAACGAUUUUAACCGUUGGAAAGUCUAAGCGAUUCAUCGUCAUGUUACCUCCCCCACAAUUAAAAUAUCUAAAGAACACGUCAUCAUGGAUUUCUAAAUGAUCAAUGUUGUGGAGCCAAAAAUAAUCACAAGGCGACAUGUGGAUUUUUGGUAAAAAUGACAAAGUUGCCCCUGAGACACACCGGAUGUCCUACACGCGAGCAGUGGACAAUCAUUCUUUAAUCAAGCCAAGAGUGUCCAAAAAAGGUAACCAAUUCCAAAUUAUCUCAUCCAUCCUCAUCUUAGGUAAUUACUUCAUAACCUACAAAUUAUUCCAUAUAAAUGGAGAUUAAUUGGCUAAUUAAUCCAUUAAUCACCAAUUAAAUCACCCAUUUUCACACCAAAAACCUCUAAGGGCCAGCCACCUCCAUUCCCUAUAUAUAUGACCCUAUUUUUUCUAAAAAAAGGAGGUCCAAACUCUUGCAAAACUCCCAAAAACUCUCCAAAAACUCUUCUCUCUAAAUUCUUAACUUUGGCUUCGGAGGUUAUUUGGCCAAAGCACCCCCCAUUCAUCGUGGGCGCGUUAGGCUUGAUGAGUAUAUUUUAUAUUAUAUACCCUAAUCUUAGUAUAUUUUGGUUAAUAUAUUGGAAGAAUUUUGAUACUUUGAAUUGUAUUUUCAAUAUAGGACUUUCGACUUCCUCUGGAGCAAAACAGGACCAAAUGGACGAAUUUUGGAGUAAUUCCAGUUGGAGGACGUUCAUGAGUCACUUAGCUUGAUCGUAUCAAAAUUUGGGAUUUUUCCACCAAGCGGUUAUUUUCUGGCGAUAAAAUAAAGGAGCGAUGCGCAGUGCUGAAAAAUGACGUUUUUGGGCUUAAAUUGCGUUUUUGGAGCCCAAGAUGACCUCGGAUGGGUUCGUGGCCUUCUGGAGAAGUGUUCAGAAUAUUCCAAACAUUUUGGAGCAGCUUAUGGGUCCAAAACGUGGCUGUUCAGAUUUUAGAAGAAUUUUACCAUUUAAUUUAGGGUUAUGUUUCCUAUUUUAUGGGAAUUAAUUUUAGUUUCCUAGGGUUUGUGUGGAGGCUGAGCAAAUAUAUUGCUUGGCCGUCUACCAUAUUUCUUUACGCUUUAUUUUAUGCAACUUUGGAGACAGAGAGAAUUACUAGGGUUUUGGAGAUUUUCUACUUGAAGGUGUUUUCAAUCAUUUUCUUAAUAAUAUUUUCUAUGAUUUCAAUUAUGAAUAUGCAUAACUAAUUUCUUUUGCUAGGGCGAAGCCUUGAGCCUUAGCAUGAAUAUGUGAUUUUUAUUUAAUUGCUUAUGAUUGAUUGCAUGUGCACUUUGAAUUGUUAAUCACCGGGAUAAAAACUAUCUAAUUGUCGUAAUGCCUGAUCAACAUUAGGAUCUUUAGAAAAGUAAUUUGAUGCAAUUUUGGUCGGAAGGUUCCCUGAAAUUGACGCUGGCUUCUUGUGAUUAAUAAUUGUAAUUUCACUUAGGAUGAAUAUCACGUCUUAAGGAUUGCAUGGUUUUUCAAAGGAUUUUCAUAAAGCAUAAUGAGUCUUUCAUGUUCAGAUUUGAUCCGAACGUCCGGACGGGUUGCAUAUUAGAUAUACGUUCUAUGUUGGAGGUUCCAAGUAGAAUAUGAAUUAGGAAAAUCUAACCUUCAAAGUUGCAUGUGUAGAUCAUAAGUAAUUGGUAAAAAUUCAUAGGAUUGCUAGGUGAUGGUGGAACCCUAGUGCUUUCUUAAUUUGAUUCUCCCAAAACUGUUUUAUUUUCUCUCUAGCUCUAAUAUUGCAGAUUGUUUAUUUUAAUUCAUUAAUUUCGUUUUUAUUUUAAUUAGGUUAUAAAAUCAAUCACCUCAAUUUCUACUUUACAAUAAUUAAAAAGAAUCUGAUUAGUUUCGAAUUAUUUAAUAAUUCAUGUGGAGACGACCUUGCAAGAUCCGUUUAUACUAUAAUAACCUUGUGAUUCUUGCAAGUAAAAUAGGAGAUUUAAGCCCGUUCACAUGAGUAGUAAAAAUCCUAUCAAGAAAAUGGCGCCGUUGCCGGGGAUUAUUUAAAAUAAUUCCUUCUAAUCAGAUUUUCAGUUCAUUAUUGCUGUUUAUGCAUAUAAAAAAAAAUUUAAUUUUCGUUUUUAUUUUAUUUUUCUCAUAUUAUAGCAACUCUUAGUUAAUUAUUUUUGUAUAUAUCUUUUUAUUUAAUUGCUGAUUUUGUUUGGUAGGUUACAAUUUGUUUCUUUUUUAGCAGUGCAACAAUGGAAUUUGCAGUUCCUCCUGAAUUCAAUCUAAAACCUGGUGGACCACCUCUUUGGGUGUCAUUAGCAGAAAAGGGUUAUUAUGGAUUUAAGCCUACAGUUUGUGCUCUUUGCAAUUCAAGGACCCAUGAUAUUUUGCAAUGUCCUGAGAGGAAAUAUUUUCCAGAUUAUGUCCAAGAGUAUAUAUAUAUGAGAAACGAUUCAAAAUGGAAGUGGUAUAAUCCCCAUUUAGAGUUCUACACUCAAAGUUUGAAAGAGCAUCUUGGGAAGUAUUUUGAGCAGUUUAAUGUGCCACAAGAGCUUUCAGUGGAGGACAAGCUCUCUAAAUUGUUGGAAUUAACUGACUUAUACAUAGAAGUAACUAAUCAAGAAUUUCAGAUUCAACCAUUAAUAAACUGUGGGAAAAGCUUUGAUGAUCAAGAGGAAAUUGGUGCAGAAACGGAAGAGCAAUCUGCCAGCCAGUUAUGCCCAAGGGAGGAACCACCACCUGCUGAUCGUGAAACAAUUUCCCCACAAUCUUUUCCUCCCCAAGUUUAUGUGCCACCAGAACCCUUCCCAACAGGGCUGCACGAAUGCACAAUAAUUGAUAUGUUAGAAGUUGUUCAUUCAAAAUCAGUACAUCAGACAUCACAUGAUCAGCUUUUGACUACUCUGACCAUUUUGGAUUCGGAGCAACAUGCUACUUGUUGAUGCACAAAAUCAGCGAAGACUUUGGUACAACAGAAAGUGUCAGGUUUUGUGACCUUCGCUUGGUUGCUUCGGUCACUAGUGAGGAUAAGUACGUAAAUGAAUAGAGACAGAGAAGCAAACACAGGAUGUACGUGGUUCACCCAGAUUGGCUACGUCCACGGAGUAGAGGAGUUCUUAUUAGUAGUGAAGGGCUUACACAAGUACAAAGGAUCAAGCUCUCAAUUUAGUGAGUUCUUGUGAAUGAUUUAACACAAAUGGCAUUAGGCAAUAUUGUGGGGGAAUGACCCCUAUUUAUAGAAAAACUUGUAGCUUUGUCACAUUGACAUGUGUCAUGUUAUGAUUGGUUCUUGAUGUCGACACGUGCUGCGCUCUGAUUGGCUUCUAAUCUUGACACGUGUCGAGUAGUGAUUGGCCUCCUGGUCGGAGGGGAACUCUUCUGGGUCCUUGACAGUAUAGCGUUGGCCGGUGCUCGGUAGUUUCGGGAUUGGUCAAGUAUGGUACAAACAGUGCUCCCCUAAGUUCCCGAGUGAGGGAAACUCCUCGGUUGGGGACUUGCAAGAUCCAAUCCCUUGAGUAAUCACGAAACUUCUAAGUACCGAAGUGUGGUCUGAUCUUCAUCUGCCCUUCUCUGGAAGUACCUUUCCUCCAUCCGGGAAUGGUGUAUUUAGCUGAUGUUGACGCACAAGGUAAUGUAUCAAUUUCACUUGAAGCUUAGUUGUAGUUUCGGGCUUAGUCAAGUGUGAUACAAACCCUAUAGUAGGAGUCCCCCAAGUCGCCGAGCUAGGAGAUCUGCCGAAAGAGGUGACAGACAAGGUAAGCAGUCAAACUUCCAAGUAAGCAACCCAGGAUCAGAGGUUUGACUUCGGCUUCCGGUUGAUUGUUCUCCUUCUCCUUGUCUCUCAUUCAACUGCCAGGAUAAGGAGAAGCAAAUGGAUAAGAGAUGAUAUGAGAUACUUUUGCUUUUGAAGAAGUAACUUUCCACAGGCUUAUUCUUGAACUGUGCUGGAGGGUUUUCUGGUGCCCUUCAGAGUAUAAGGCCGACUCAAAAAUUUGAGGGUCAAAACAAGUCCAUCAAAUCUAGAGUACGUUCGACCUUGAUGAUAUGGGAUACUUUUACUGUUGACGAAAUAAUGAAUGUGGUAUGGAAAGGUGUCGUGCUGUAGUGAUCUGUUUCAGCUCACCGUUGAACCUUCUGCUUCAAUCUUUUGCAUGGCAGAAGUGGUGUGCAACCUUUGCAUUUAAAUGGUCAUUCAGAACAUUCCUUCAUAGUGACUCAUCCACGCUUGGCAGCUUCAGUGUAAAGAGCCAAUAUCUGAUCAACUGUCAUGAGGUAUUUGCCGGUGGAAUUCGUGACCUUGACAGCAGUUGAGGAUGAGUACUCGAGAGCAAUGCUAAGUAAGCAACCAGGCAAAGGCUCCAGGCAGUCAGUUCCAAAUUGGAGGUUUGAUUUCAGGUUCCGACUGACUGCUCUCUUUCUCAUUGUCCUGCAGGUGUGGACAAGGACAAAGACAAAGAUAGGGAGAAAGCAUGAUAUGGGAUACUCUUGCUUUCGACCCUGAUGAUAUGAGAUACUCUUGUUCUUGGUGUGGCUUAUUUUCUGAGGUAUUAUCAGGGGGAAAUAAAGCUGAGUAUUUCGAGAGGUUAUGUUGAGGGUGCCUUUUCGAAUGUGAGAAAGGGUUGAGCAUUUUUGCAGGUUUGCCUGUCCGUUGAGGAGGGAGGUCAAUGUAUAUAGGGAUUUCCCAAUAACAAGUAGUAAUGCUAUUCCUUUACCCUUCUUGGUCACAGCAAUGUAGUGGGAGUUGCCAGCUUCACGUGUUUUAAUAUUGUCAGAGCACUUUGAAAAAGUGGUAUGUGGUAUCUGGAAAGCUGAUAUUACGUGUGAAGAUUACAGACAAGCUUUAUCUAAGGAAAUCUGGCUCUCGAAGUUCUGAGAGUUGUGCCUCUUCGGUUUUUCGAACAAGCAAUCCCGUCGAGGAUCUGACUCUCGAGAUUCGGAAAGCGGUGCUACUCCGGUUUUUGAGAAAGUAAUUAUGUUGGGAGUCUCUUUUCUCGAAUGUGAGUAAAGGUUGGACGUUCUUGCCAACCUGUCUUGCCGCAAAACACGGAGGUCGACACACAUAGGGACUUUCCAGUUGUCAAGCAGUGGUGCUGUUCCUUUACCCUUAUGGGUAAUAGUAGGGUAGCUGGAACUUCGAAAUUCUCGUGCCUAAACUUUGUCAGAGAUCUUUGACAAAGUUAUAUGUGGUACCCGAGGAGUUGAUGGUGCAUAUGGAGAGCGGUGAUUGAACAGUAAGAUUCACGUGCUUUUUACUUCACCAGAAAUCUUGGACAGAUUGCCCGUAAUUUCCGCAAAGCUGAUUGUGCAUGUGACAGGUGCUGACGAGGCUGAAAAAAGCAGGUGCUUCUUCGAUUUCUGAGAUCGGCCCUCGUGGUCUCUGAGCAGCCCAGCUUUUUGAGAAAGCAAACGCCUCUUCGAUUUCUGAGAUCGGCCCUCGUGGUCUCUGAGCAGCCCAGCUUUUGAGAAAGCAAACGCCUCUUCGAUUUCUGAAGCUCCGUCGAGUGCAGAUUUUUAUAGAGGCUGGCAUUAAGUUCCACAGCACACCUGAAUCUCUACCAGUAGAAGCUCAUUUCUUGCACUUCUAAGAUCUUGAUUUGUCUGACCUCUUCCUUCUUCAAACACAUUUGAAAAUGUCUGGACCCUCCGACCGUCGUUUUGACCUGAACCUUGGAGAAGAGACAGCCACGCCUUCUCCAGACAACAUAUGGCGCCCAUCCUUCAUAUCCCCUACUGGUCCUCUUACCGUUGGGGAUUCUGUGAUGAAGAAUGAUAUGACCGCUGCAGUGGUGGCCAGGAACCUUCUCACUCCCAAAGAUAACAGACUACUUUCCAAACGGUCUGAUGAGUUGGCUGUUAAGGAUUCUCUGGCUCUUAGUGUUCAGUGUGCAGGUUCUGUGUCUAAUAUGGCCCAACGCCUAUUUGCUAGAACCCGCCAAGUUGAAUCAUUGGCUGCUGAAGUGAUGAGUCUCAAACAGGAGAUUAGAGGGCUCAAGCAUGAGAAUAAGCAGUUGCACCGGCUCGCCCAUGACUAUGCUACAAACAUGAAGAGGAAGCUUGACCAGAUGAAGGAAUCUGAUGGUAAGGUUUUACUUGAUCAUCAGCGGUUUGUGGGUUUGUUCCAAAGGCAUUUAUUGCCUUCGUCCUCUGGGGCUGUACCUGGUAAUGAAGCUUCAAAUGAUGAACCUCCAAUGCCUCCUCCUUCUGGGGUUUUGUCAAGUACUGAGGCUCCGGAUAACCACCCUCCGGUGCUUUCUCUUUCUGGGGCUCUACCGACUGCUGAGACUUCCCCUAAGCAACCUUUGUGAAGGCUCCCUUUUGUUUGUUUAUUUUGACUAAUGUAUAUGUACAUAUUUGUGGCUUAUCGAAAAUAUUAAUAAAUAAGCUUUGCUUCAUUUCAAUAUAUUGUGUUAAAUACACCAAAGCCUUCUUCAUAAAGUUCUUUGAAUUUUUGCUUUUGUUGAAACCUGUAUUGUUGAAGCUUUGUGAGUGAAGCAUGUAGUUUGAGGUAGUGUUCCCUUAAUUUCCCGAGUGAGGAAAACUUCUCGGUUGGAGACUUGAAAAAUCCAAGUCACUGAGUGGUUGUGAGACUGCCGAGUAUUAAGGUGCAGUAGCAUAUGGUGGGAGUCCCCCAAGUCUUCAGGCGAAGAGAGUUGCCGAAUGAGGUGUCUCGCUUGUUACUAAUUUGUCAAAGUAACGAAUCCUUGUUUCGAUGUCACACAUUCGCAUAUGCCUUAUCUAAAAAUAUUUCCAACUUUUGUGUGUUUGAUGCUGCAUGCUAUUGACUAGACAAGAUCAAGUGCAAUUAGUAGCUUUUCUCUCUUUUUCAUCUUUUCUUUGGUGGAAUUGCUUUUCGUUUCCACUAAUCAGCCUGAGUGGAUGCAAGAUAACACCAUUCUCUAUAACUCAGAUCGCAAAGUCGUCUUCAUGAAAGUUGUUCCUUAUCUUGUGAACUACAACAUCUCAAAUUUGAGAUCCAUCGGAGUAGUACAACUCCAGAAAUUCAGGUAUGAUGAGUAACUGUUCAUCAAUUUUCUGUUAACCCGUCAGACUUGUUGUGAGCUUCUAAACUCCAUUUUUUUCUUGUUCAUCUCAACAUACUUUCUUCAUCGAAGUUGUUCCUCACCUUGUCAGCUACAACAUAUCCAAAUUUGAGAUCCAUUGGAGCAGUACAAAUCCAGAAAUUCAGGUAUGAUGAGUGACUGUUCAUCAUUUUUCUGUCAACCUGUCAGACUUGUUGUGAGCUUCGAAACUCCAUUUUCUCUUGUUCAGAUCAACAUACUUUCUUCAUCGAAGUUGUUCCUUAACUUGUGAACUACAACAUAUCCAAAUUUGAGGUCCCUCGGAGCAGUAUAACUCCAGAAAUCCAGGUAUGAUGAGUGACUGUUUAUCAUUUGUCUGUCAACCCGUCAGAUUUGUUGUAAGCUUUGAAACUCUAUUUUCUCUUGCUCAGAUCAGCAUGCUUUCUUCAUUGAAGUUGUUCCUCAGCUUGUGAACUACAACAUAUCCAAAUUUGAGAUCCCUCGGAGCUAUAUAACUCAAGAAAUUCAGGUAUGAUGAAUGACUGGUUAUUAUUUUUCUGUCAACCCGUCAGAUUUGUUGUGAGCUUCGAAACUCCAUUUUCUAUUGUUCAGAUCAGCAUGCUUUCUUCAUUGAAGUUGUGCCUCAUCGUCUCUUUCAUAACAUAUCAAAAAUUCAGAAUGAACUAAUGGUUAAAUAUUUCCAGAUCUUCGAAACAUCAUAGCAGCUUCGAAAUCUGCAAGAAUCCGACUGUCAUGUUUGGAGCUUCAACACUUUAAUUUCCGUCGCUCAAACAGAAAUGGUUCCUUCUUGAAAGUUGUUCAUAUGCUCAAAAACUAUAGGGGUGUCCAAAAUUCAGCUCCAUUGGAGAAGAGCAGAGGUUGCAGAAAUUUGAUAGAUGAAAGGAGGCGGAAGAGGGAGAGAGAGAAAAAGUCUCUUGGGUUGGAUUUCUAUUUUGGGGCAGAUUCCAAGUUUUGUGUAGCACCUUCAUUAUUGAUGAAUUGCUUGUACUUUUGUCCAUUAUGAAACUUGGGACUUUGGCUUGUUGUUGGAUCUAUUAUAAUAUGUUUGGAAACAUAUAUAUAAUUGCUUGUUUGGUUAUGACAGGGAUGUUGUGGGUGUAGAACAAAACAAAUGUUUGUGUUGACCUGUGUUUUUGUACAAGUUCAAGGGCAUCUUGGGUUUUGUGAACAAAAUUUGUUUAUUUGGAGCAAGGUUUUGUGUUGAAGCUUUGUAGGUGAAGCUUUGGUGUUGAAGCUUUCUAGGUGAAGCUUUGAUGGUGAAGCUUUCUGGGUGAAGCUAUGUAGGUGAAGCUUUCUAGGUGAAGCUUUUUUAGGUGAAGCUUUGUAGGUGAAGCUUUUUUAAGUGAAGCUUUUCGGGUGAAGUUUUUUGGGUGAAGCUUUUUGUGAAGGUGGUGUGAAGCUUUUUUAGGUGAAGCUGUUUGGGUGAAGCUUUUUGGAGGUGAAGUUUUUUUUUUUUGGGUGAAGCUUUUUUAGGUGAAGCUUUUUGGGUGAAGCUUUGAUGGUGAAGCUUUGUAGAUGAAGCUUUGUAGAUGAAGCUUUCGAGGUGAAGCUUUGAUGGUGAAGCUUUGUAGGUGAAAGUAUGUAGAGGGAGCUUUCUAGGUGAAGCUUUUUUAGGUGAAGCUGUGCAGGUGAAGCUUUUUUUAAGUGAAGCUUUUCGGGUGAAGUUUUUUGGGUGAAGCUUUGUGGGUGAAGCUUUUUUAGGUGAAGCUGUUUGUUUGGGUGAAGCUUUUUUAGGUGAAGGUGAAGCUUUUUGGGUGAAGCUUUUUGGAGGUGAAGUUUUUUUUGGGUGAAGCUUUUUUUGUGGUUUUUUUGAAGCUUUUUAGGUGAAGCUUUUUGGGUGAAGCUUUGAUGGUGAAGCUUUGUAGAUGAAGCUUUGUAGAUGAAGCUUUCGAGGUGAAGCUUUGAUGGUGAAGCUUUGUAGGUGAAAGUAUGUAGAGGGAGCUUUCUAGGUGAAGCUUUUUUAGGUGAAGCUGUGUAGGUGAAGCUUUUUUAAGUGAAGCUUUUCGGGUGAAGUUUUUUGGGUGAAGCUUUGUGGGUGAAACUUUUUAGGUGAAGCUUUGUGGGUGAAGCUUUUUUUAGGUGAAGCUGUUUGGGUGAAGCUUUUUGGAGGUGAAGUUUUUUUUUUUUUUUUUUUUUUUUUUUUUUUUUUUUUUUUUGGGUGAAGCUUUUUUAGGUGAAGUUUUUUGGGUGAAACUUUUUGGAUGAAGCUUUUUGGGUGAAGUUUUGGAGGUGAAGCUUUUUGGGUGAAGCUUUGUGGGUGAAGCUUUUUAGGUGAAGCUUUGUGGGUGAAGCUUUUUUAGGUGAAGCUGUUUGGGUGAAGCUUUUUGGAGGUGAAGUUUUUUUUUUGGGUGAAGCUUUUUUAGGUGAAGUUUUUUGGGUGAAACUUUUUGGAUGAAGCUUUUUGGGUGAAGUUUUGGAGGUGAAGCUUUUCGGGUGAAGCUUUUUGGAUGAAGCUGUUUUUUUUUUUUUUUUUUUUUUUUUUUGGCGCUUGACACGGUCUUCAUUUGCUUGUUUUGUAGUGACUGUGGAAGACGGAUUGCUUUCUGAUUGAGAAGGGUUCCGGCAUCGCUUUGCACCAUCUUCAUGUGGGUAAUAUAGGAACUUCCUUAUGUUUUGAUCAUGCAUGUAGUGAUAGAAUUUGUUUCUUCUUAUUGUAGAUGUCAGAGCCUGGAAGUUCUAGUGAUGAGGGCUCUUCUAGCUUUAGCUCUACGUCUGAGUCUGCAAUGUCGGAGUCUUCAGGGUCUUUGUUAGAGUCCUGUACUAGAGAAACAUUGGAUGAUCUUCCCAACCGUCAAACUUUAGCUAUUGCUAGUUCUUCCUCCAUGGCGUUGGGUGAGGGGGUUUCUCCUGAUAUGUCUUUGCCUCGGCGGAGGCAUGGUUAUAAGCCUGCGCCAUCACCUCAGAGUAAGUCUUCCAAGUAUUGGCAUUGAUCAUGUAUUUAAAGAAACAAUCACGUACGCCUGCCGUGAAGGCUUUGAGGGCAGUCUUGUCGUCUGCCUCGGCACACCGGGAGUAUUCAUGGCUGAAGCGGCUAGCAUACAUACGUAAUGACUCGUCUGGCCUCUGGCGGAUAGUGUACAGGUCAUCUGCAGAGUGCAAGCGAUCGGUUUGGAAAAUGUGUUGGGAAACAAAUAGUUUCCUCAAUUCCUCAAAUGAGUCUACCGUCUCAGGUGUAAGACGACAAUACCAAUUUAGAGCUCCGCCAGAGAGGGUGGAGGGGAAGAGAAGACAUCGAUCUUCGUCGGUGUGCAUCCGGUAUGCCAUGGUGGACUCAAAGAGGUUAAGGUGCUCAAUCGGGUCCUCUUUUCCAAUAUAAAGUUGCAAGCCAAGCUUCUGCUUUGUCUUUGCUUGAAGGGGGGUGUUGAGGAUCCUCCUUGUAAGAGGGCCAGGCCUGGGUUGGUUCCAGUCAGGUAUUUCAGCCUGACGUUCAGCCUUCAACUUGUUUACUUCCUCAAGAAGUUGUAGGACAAGGGGGUCAUGAGCGGAGUUAUGUGCCACUGGAGCUUUCUUUCGUAAAUCUCCAUCUCCUCUUGGAAUUAGGAAGGUUUGAUCAAGGGCAUGUGAUUUUUCCCUGGACUCGCUGUACUGGCUUCCAGGGUAUGUCUGUCGGAACACCUCUGAGUCCCCUGUACCCUCAUGUCUCUCUAGGACUUGUUGCACCUUCCCCAAGUUGGUGGCCGGCUCGGGCCGUGGCAGGGGACCGAGUCUCUCAGAAAUCCUUGGGUCAUUGAUCUUUGAGCUUAUAUGGAUGGAAUUCUCUCGACGUUGCUUCAGGAAAUCCCGACAAUCGCGAAAGACGGCUUUCGAUCCUUCUGCCCCUUCAGCAAAGAGGUGUCUCCCUCCGCUUCUCAUGGUUCGGGUCGAAGCAACUGGGUUAAGAGAAGCCUCAUGUUGAUUAUCAAAUCGAGGGGUAAUUUGUUCCCUAUCAGGGAUAUCUAUGUCGAAUGCAUGUGACCCUCCAUGUUGGAGGGCACCCAGUUGAUGGUUAACUUCCACGAGGGCAACAAGCUCGCGUGUCUGAGCUUGCCUAGCUUCGUGGAGUGUCUCGAAGAGCUUCUCAUAUUGCUCCUGGAGGACCUCAUUCCUCAUUGCUAUCUUGUUGUUCUGAGCUUCCAACUCAUCGACUUUAGCUUGAAGAAGAACUCGUUUUCCUUCCUUCUUUCGUUGUUUCGCACUAUGUGCAAGGGGGGUGUCAUUCUGUGUGCUGUGGCUUCCUUCGCUUCCCAUGCUAGAGAGGGAUGCCUGAUCAAAAGAAAGUGUACGAAUGAUAGAAACCAGCUUGACACAGCUGAAGAGAGUAGGAAUAAGUGUCGUUUCCCACAGACGGCGCCAAAUGUUGAUGCACAAAAUCAGCGAAGACUUUGGUACAACAGAAAGUGUCAGGUUUUGUGACCUUCGCUUGGUUGCUUCGGUCACUAGUGAGGAUAAGUACGUAAAUGAAUAGAGACAGAGAAGCAAACACAGGAUGUACGUGGUUCACCCAGAUUGGCUACGUCCACGGAGUAGAGGAGUUUUUAUUAGUAGUGAAGGGCUUACACAAGUACAAAGGAUCAAGCUCUCAAUUUAGUGAGUUCUUGUGAAUGAUUUAACACAAAUGGCAUUAGGCAAUAUUGUGGGGGAAUGACCCCUAUUUAUAGAAAAACUUGUAGCUUUGUCACAUUGACAUGUGUCAUGUUAUGAUUGGUUCUUGAUGUCGACACGUGCUGCGCUCUGAUUGGCUUCUAAUCUUGACACGUGUCGAGUAGUGAUUGGCCUCCUGGUCGGAGGGGAACUCUUCUGGGUCCUUGACAGUAUAGCGUUGGCCGGUGCUCGGUAGUUUCGGGAUUGGUCAAGUAUGGUACAAACACUACUGAUCAGAAAAUUUUGGUUGUUGAAUUGGACACGCAAACAUCACAAUUCAUCAAAUUUAAAGAAAAUCAGGAUCAAUUCCGUGACAACCAAAUUCCUCAUAGAGAAAUUCUGCCAGUGCAGAGGUGGUGGGUGUUAAAUACAAGGUUCAAGGCAGCUCGAUGGAAACAUAAACCUCACUGGAAACAACCUUAUUUGAUCACAAAGAUUCAUUCACAUAGAACUGCACUUAUGAAGAAUUCAACCACUGAUAAACAACAACUCAUUCCAUACCUACUGUUGUCGUAUGAUGCUAUCAAGAAGUGGUGAACUCGAAGGGAACAAGUGACGUGAUCUUCAAUUCUUCCCUCUACGUCUAGCUAUAGACAUUAACUAAAGCGCUAAUUGGGAGGCAACCCAAUUUUUCUAACUCUUUUCUUUUUAUUUCGUUUAUUUUAUUUUCCUGUUUUUAUCCCUAAUUACAAAAAUCACAAAAAUAAAAAAUUAGAAAAUUGACAAAAAAAUUGCAAUUUUUAAUUCUUGUUAUUUUUCUUUACUUAUCUAAUUAGUUUUUUUUUAUUGCAGGUUGCAUUCGGAACUGAUUCGGCCUAAUCCCAACUAAGGGGGUGCAAUCAACAUUUAUUCCCCUAGCACAUUCAUCAUCAAUUCAUCAUCAAUUCCUCUACAUUCAUGAGAUUAGGCAGUGCGGAGUACAAGAUUUUUACCUUUGCAGGCACUGGAUCUACAUUGUAGCUGGUGUUCCUUUUCAUUGUUAGUGUUCCGCUUCCAGAUCGUCGACCUUUGCACCCUAACAAGAUGCACAGAUUUUACACAUGCCGGGUGAAGCUUAUAUGAGACAUGCAGUGAGAGAAGGCUAGUAAUUUUACCCUUUCUGUCUCGGAUUUGAGCUGCUUGCAUGUUGUUUUUCAUUUUCCUCGUGUUUGGUAGGUGGCUCCACAUCCUCGCAAAGGAAGCAGAUCAGCAUGAGUUAAUGUUCUUUUCCGUAUAAAAAAAAAAUCAUCAACUGUGCACCUAUUAAACAAGGACAGGGACGAAGAUAACCUUUAUGGGAAGAUUUGAGCUUCACAUGUGCUACCAUUUCCAUGGCCGAGGUGUUGGUUUUGGGGUUCUUGUAGCGGAGAGUGUGUGUGGUUGAGCAGCUGAGGGUGAAGGGUAAACAAAUGAAAAAAAAAAAAAAUUGGGAGAAGGAGAGUUAUUUUUCAUGCUAGAGAGAAAUGGAACAUAAUGGAGUUUUUUCAGUUGGAAUCCUAAGGAACUCAUCAUUCGGAUGGUCGACACGUGUACAUAUCUGGAGCUUUGCAUGACUGACCGAGAAGGCUGUUUUAAAAUGGGAAAACAGAGAGCCGUUUGGCUCUGGGUUUGAUGCAAAGAAGGCGCUGGGCUCGAGGAGAAUGGAUGCGGAGGAUCCAAAGUUGGGUCACAACCAGCUAGGGUUUUAUGGUGCACGCAUGUGAACACCUGUGGUUGAUGUGAAGAAGCUCAGCGUCUUCUGUUUGCCCACCAGUUUGCGAGUUCGAUUCCCCGGAGCUAUGCAAGUUAUUGCACUUUAUUUCAAACUUUUGACAGCGCCUCCAAGCUCCUAGGUUAGAACCUCUGAGGUGCGUUCUUUUCCUUCUUUUUGUUUUAUUUUCUGUUUUGUUUUAUUUCCUUCAUUUUUUUUUUGUUUUAUUUUAUUUUCUGUUUUUAGUUGUCUCUUAAUUUCCGCUCUUUCAUCGUAGUCGCUAUUAUUUAUUUUCCACACCUUGAGGACAAAGUGUGAAAUAAGUUUGGGGGUGGGAAACAACAUUUUAGGUUUUAAAUUUUUGUGUCAGUUUAAAAAUUUUCAUUCUUUUUAAGUUAAUAUUCAUAGAUUAUUUUAAACGUUAGAACAAAUAGACAUGGUAAAGAUUAAUCCCACAGUAGAGUCUUUUCUAUUUAUCGUUGCUUAGACAUUAAUUCAUGAAUUAUACUUUGAACUUUGCACAUCACACCAACAUGGUUUGUGGGGAGUGAGAUUGAAACACUUACUUUUAGUCUAAGUUUAUUUUUAAUUUUUGUUUUAAGCAAAGUCCGUUAUUAUUGUGAAUAAAGUAAUAAUUGUCUCACCUGAGGUUUUGCCUAGUAACCGGGUCAGUCCUGCCCAAUCAGCAGUGAUUCUCGUGUUAAACGGUAGAGUUUUGGCAUGGGGCAGGGUGGUUAGUUGGUUUCGUAGCCUUUUCAGCUCGGGUUAAUAAGUCCUUAGGGGUGUUCUACACUUAGUGCCCUAAAGCCCUAGUGGUUUGGGAGUCAUUGACCUAAAGCUCGCUACAUGGGUUGGAUCGAAAGUUUAAGUGAACCGACAUUGCACAACCACUACUGUUACUGAAAAAAAAAAGAGAAAAAAAAAUUUAAAAGAAAAAGAAAAAGAAAAAUAGUUAUAUUUAAAGUUAGUAUGUGUGAAAUAAAGAAGGACGAGAGGUAAGGGUUUUAGUCGAGUCUCCUUAACUAUGUUGGUUCACUUUACACCAAAGGACGUCUGUGAAUUCUUUUCUAAUUGACUCUAAAUGGCUUAGACUCUGUGGUGGGAUUGGUUGGAACUUUUGAAAAGAUGUUCUAGUUUUUAAAAUUUGUUAUGGAUUGCAACUUUGAAGGUGAAUAUUUUUGUUAGUUAAUUUUAGCUAGUUGUCUAGUUUGUUAAGUUUUUAUUUUUGUUGAGUCUUGUUUUGCUUGAGGACAAGCAAAAAGCUAAGUUUGGGGGUAUUUGAUGAGUAUAUUUUAUAUUAUAUAUUUUACCCUAAUCUUAGUAUAUUUUGGUUAAUAUAUUGGAAGAAUUUUGAUACUUUGAAUUGUAUUUUCAAUAUAGGACUUUCGACUUCCUCUGGAGCAAAACAGGACCAAAUGGACGAAUUUUGGAGUAAUUCCAGUUGGAGGACGUUCGUGAGUCACUUAGCUUGAUCGUAUCAAAAUUUGGGAUUUUUCCACCAAGAGGUUAUUUUCUAGCGAUAAAAUAAAGGAGCGAUGCGCAGUGCUGAAAAAUGACGUUUUUGGGCUUAAAUUGCGUUUUUGGAGCCCAAGAUGACAUCAGAUGGGUUCGUAGCCUUCUGGAGAAGUGUUCAGAAUAUUCCAAACAUUAAAUCCAGCUAUAUUGGGCCAGUUUUGGAGCAGCUUAUGGGUCCAAAACGUAGUUCAGAUUUUAGGCGAAUUUUACCAUUUAAUUUAGGGUUAUGUUUCCUAUUUUAUGGGAAUUAAUUUUAGUUUCCUAGGGUUUGUGUGGAGGCCGAGCAAAUAUAUUGCUUGGCCGUCUACCAUAUUUCUUUACGCUUUAUUUUAUGCAACUUUGGAGACAGAGAGAAUUACUAGGGUUUUGGAGAUUUUCUACUUGAAGGUGUUUUCAAUCAUUUUCUUAAUAAUAUUUUCUAUGAUUUCAAUUAUGAAUAUGCGUAACUAAUUUCUUUUGCUAGGGCGAAGCCUUGAGCCUUAGCAUGAAUAUGUGAUUUUUAUUUAAUUGCUUAUGAUUGAUUGCAUGUGUACUUUGAAUUGUUAAUCACCGGGAUAAAAACUAUCUAAUUGUCGUAAUGCCUGAUCAACAUUAGGAUCUUUAGAAAAGUAAUUUGAUGCAAUUUUGGUCGGAAGGUUCCCUGAAAUUGACGCUGGCUUCUUGUGAUUAAUAAUUGUAAUUUCCCUUAGGAUGAAUAUCACGUCUUAAGGAUUGCAUGGUUUUUCAAAGGAUUUUCAUAAAGCAUAAUGAGUCUUUCAUGUUUAGAUUUGAUCCGAACGUCCGGACGGGUUGCAUGUUAGAUAUACGUUCUAUGUUGAAGGUUCCAAGUAGAAUAUGAAUUAGGAAAAUCUAACCUUCAAAGUGGCAUGUGUAGAUCAUAAGUUAUUGGUAAAAAUUCAUAGGACUGCUAGGUGAUGGUGGAACCCUAGUGCUUUCUUAAUUUGAUUAUCCCAAAACUGUUUUAUUUUCUCUCUAGCUCUAAUAUUGCAGAUUGUUUAUUUUAAUUCAUUAAUUUCGUUUUUAUUUUAAUUAGGUUAUAAAAUCAAUCACCUCAAUUUCUACUUUACAAUAAUUAAAAAGAAUCUGAUUAGUUUCGAAUUAUUUAAUAAUUCCUGUGGAGACGACCUUGCAAGAUCCGUUUAUACCACAAUAACCUUGUGAUUCUUGCAAGUAAAAUAGGAGAUUUAAGCCCGUUCACAUGAGUAGUAAAAAUCCUAUCAAGGCUCUUGGCCUUGACCUAAGGUGUUGAUUGUUUUAUAGGUGCAAUUUUGUCCAAGAAGAAGAAGGUGGAAAUUUGCAUCCACAAAUGUCAUCGAAAGAUGUAAAGAAAAGGUAAGGUGAGACAACAAUUCUUUGUUAGAAACUUUAUUCAUAUUGAACAUCUCAACUAAAUUGACCUUCCUCGGUUGGUAUGUGAAGAAAAACACCACAGUUGAGAAAUUGCUAACAAUUUGUCGAUAAAAUCAACAAGACCAAAGAUAUCUUGAAAUUCACAAUACCUUGUGAGAAUUCCAACUUUUUUCCGCUACUACCUUUGGAGAAAAGAAAAGAAUAUCAUUGAAAAUCACAUGUCCUAAGAGAAGUACCAAUUUACACAAAGGUAAUAUUUGAGGAAUUUUAUGUGAAGCUAACUGUUGAUAAUUGGAGAAUUUAAUUUCGUUAAUAGAAUAUGUAAGAUAGUCAUCUACAAGACUAUUAUGAAUUUAUCAAACUACACAAGGAAACUUGAGUUACAAAGGUUGGUUGAUAAGAAAUAGGGAGAAUAAAUGUGAUGUUAACAAGGUGGAUCAAUGGUGUAUUCUACUUCUCGCAUUUGGUAGAAUCCCAAAUAAAAAUUUGAGAAUUGAUGCCAAAGGUAAAACUCUUCCAAAUGUACUAGGAACUGAUUCCAUAAUUCUAGGGAAAAAAACUUACCACUUCGAGAAUUUCUACUGACCUUAGAUAUAACGAUUCUUACUCAUGUGCCAAGGCUCAUCAAAAUGACGAGUAUAGCACUAAAAGUAAUGUGGAAUUUAAUAUUGGUUGGAGUGUUCUAAAGUCAGAAAAAUAAAAUUUUCUAGUAAUCUACUUUAGAAUGGACUUAAACAAAAGUCGAUCUUCCCCCUGAAGAUCCAGAAUGAUCACUUACGUGUUUGGAAAAAUUUGUGCUAUCAGAGACCAAAGUGAUUAUCCCAAGAUGUUCUUUCGUCGAGUGCUACCCCUAUAGCACUACAUUGUCACUCAAGACAUUUCUGAAAAUUUCGACAAAAACUAAAACUUCGUAAAGAUCUGGUAAGCGAAACAUUAACGGGUACUGCCAAAGAAUCAAGACUAUCAAUGGUUUCCUAACUCGAAAAGAUUGGAAGAAAUGACUAGAUAGUAGUGGAAUUGAUAGGAAAUUCUCCCCCCUGAGAUACACAACUAUCAAUAUAGAAGUCCUACUUCAAGGCCAUCAACUUAUCCCCAAGUCUACAUCGUUCAUUGGCAGGGAAAUUCUUCCCUUAUAAUUUAGAGGCCUUCGCCAAAAUGAUAUUUUUAAACGUCAACAACUCGACAAAACUGCCCAAAACUUAGGAAAAACUAACACAUUUUUUGUAUUCAACGAGGUGGUAAGAUUCAGAAAUUAGGUUCAAGAAUAAAAAAUGCUCACUUCACACGUGUGAUGAACGCAAUAUUGCCCAACUUAUGCUCUGAUACCAAACUGACACACCCCGACCCAGAAUGUCCACAAGGACUCCGAAUCGAGCUGUGUUGGCCGACACCUGGAAGGUGACGAAGCCAUAAAGUGUGACGAUGUGGAAAAAUAUGAAUAAAUUUGAACCUAAGAGUGUCUAAAUACCAGAGUGCGUUGGUGAGCGGGAAUGAACCCACUUCACACGUGACGUUAGAGCAUAAGUAAGUAUAAUAGAGUGCAUAAGGAUUAUACCUUCAGAAGUAGCCAACUAUCCUGAGAUUUGCCAAGAAUCCUCGUCGAUACGAACAUUCAACAAUUAAAACCUGGAGGGGAGUAAAACAGAAAGUGUGAUAAGCCCAAUUAGACACUAGUUUAAUUAACUAUCAUUACUUAUGUUGAUACACAAAACCGAAGGUCUUGGAACAAUGUAAAUCCGACCGUGAAUCUGCAAGAAAUGUAAAUAACACAAGAUGUAUCGUGGUUCACCCCAAGGUUUGGGCUACGUCCAUACUGAUAUUGUAUUUAUGAGAGGAUUGUGAGGGAGAGAACCUCUGUAAUUGUGAGAGGAGAUGUGAGAGGGUGAGGAGGGGGCUUCAGGCCUAAGAGUUGGCCUCCUCUAAUUGUGAGGGUGAGGGGUCCUUUUAUAGAAUAAGGACUCCUCACUUAUUACAUAUUUGCCCUUUCCUUUAUCACAUAAUUACAUUUAAGUCCUCCAAGUAUUUAUACGAGAUAUAAAUACAAGGCCCUAAAUAUGGAAUAAACAGUAGUCCCCUAAGUCUACAGUCAAGAGAGUCUUCUGGCUGGAGACUUGAAAUUCAGUCCAUGUGUGGGCCGAAGUAACUAGAUGUUGUCUUGAACUGAUGCUCGAUAUGAGGCGGUGCUCAAUCUGAAAUGAUGCUUAACUAGAAGUAGCACACGUUGUGAGGCUGCUCGGCUCGUGGUUUAUGUUGCCUUGGUUGGCUCGGCUCGUGGCGUUUGAAGAUGAGGGAGUCCCUUUUAUAGAAUAAGGGCUCACUCCUCAAUACAUGGAUGAUGGACUAGAGUUGAUGCUCUCUAAUGAUGGUGAGGGAGUCUCUUUUAUAGAAUAAGGGCCCACUCCUCAAUACAUAAAUGAUGGGUUAUGAGUGAUGCUCGCGGCGAGGUGGUUGCUCAGCUGGCGGCGAUACUCUCUAAUGAAGGUGAGGGAGUCCUUUUUAUAAAAUAAAGGAUUGCUCCUCGGUACAUGAAUAAUGGGUUAGGAGUGAUGUUCAUGGCGAGGUGAUUGCUCAGCUGGCGGCGGUGCUCUCUAACGAAGGUGAGGGAGUCCCUUUUAUAAAAUAAGGGCUCGCUCCUCAAUAUAUAAGUGAUGGGCUAAGUCCCCCAAGUAUUUUUCAUGAGUGCUCUCUAAUAAAAGUGAAGGAGUCCCUUUUAUAGAAUAAGGGCUCGCUCCUCUGUACAUAGAUAAUGGGCUAAGUCCCCCAAGUAUUUUUCAUGAGGCCCAGUUGAGGCCCAAUAUAUGGUACAUAAUGUAGUCCCCAAGUCUUCAGUAAAUAGAGUUUGUUGGCUGGAGACUUCAAAUUGAAUCCAUGUAUGGGCCGGAGUGGCGGUUGUUCGGAGGCGGUAUUUGUAUACCCUGCACUGAAGCUUUGUAGGUGAAGCUUUAGAGCUCUAUAAAUGACGUUUUUGAAGCUAGAGCUCUGUAAAUAAAGCUUUUGAAGAUGAUUGACAUGAGUGAUGCUCAUGAAUGUUUAUGUUGAUUGACAUGAGUGAUGCUUAUGGAUGUUGUCAUGAGUGAUGCUCAUGAAUGUUAACAUGAGUGAUGCUCAUGAAUGUUGACAUGAAUGAUGGUUAUGAAUGUUUAUGUAUGAUUGUCAUGAGUGAUGCUCAUGAAUGUUUAUGUAUGAAUGACAUGAGUAAUGCUCACGUAUAAUUUGGAGUACUGGGCGUACUUUUGAUCACCUGGUUGGUGGUAUGAAUGAGAGUACGGGUUGUACAUUUCAUCACCUGGUUGGUGGCAUGAAUGGCUAGUUGCCAAAUGAUAUUAGAGUACGGGUUGUACAUUUCAUCACCUGGUUGAUGGUAAUAGCGGCAGGUUGCCGAAUAAUUUUGGAGUACUGGGCGUACUUUUGAUCACCUGGUUGGUGGUAAUAGCGGCGGGUUGCCGAAUAAUUAUGGAGUACUGGGCGUACUUUUAAUCACCUGGUUAGUGCUAUUUCGGGCUUAUGGGCCUUCGCCUUCCACAACAUGCCAGCCCAUUUGUUUUGGGCUUUGCCUUUUUUUUUUUUGUUUUGUAACCCUCUGAUGGGGUUUAUACAGAUAUCUCCGAAAGAUAUGAAAAACAAAUUACAUCAUUCAAACAGUAAGGAAAGUAAACCACAUCAUUUUGGUGGGGUGUUUAUUCCUCCCUUUUGCUUUCUCUUUUCCACCGCAUAUCUCUCUUUUACUGCAUUUAUUAUUCUGUUGCUGAGGUCCAUGUGCAUUAGCCCUGAGAGGCUUUUGCUUUACUUUGCAGAUUGCAGAUGGAAGUAAAGUAAAGUUCUCUUUACUUUGCUUUACUUUGCAGAUUGCAGAUGGCGGGGGCAUGCUUUACUUUGCAGAUAGCAGACAAAAGUAAAGUUUUCUUUACUUUGUUUUACUUUGCAGAUUGCAGAUGGCGGGGGCAUGGACUUGUCUUUCUUUUCUUUUCCUCUUUACACAUAGUCACAGUCAGCACCCUAUUCUUCAUCUGAUCAUUCUUCACAUUCUCCGGUAGCCUGAGCCUCCUUAUGAACUUGCCGCUGCUCCUCCCUCUCCACCCUGUGCCACUUGUCGUUCUUAUCCUCCCGCUCCCUGCUCCUCUUGUCGCUAAUCUACAAAACUCAGAUGGGAAAUCCGGAGUAACCUCACAGAUGCCAGAAAAAUAGGCUGGAACUGGAUAUGGACGUUCAGAUGUAUGGUCAUCAAAACUACUGUGAGUUAGAUCAAUGCCAGUAUCAAUAAACCCAAUAACUACCUCUUAUCCAGCUGAUUCAUAUCCUCCUCCGUGAACCCAUGCUCCUUGUGGUAAACCCAAAAACUGAGGAGUAUAGGUGGUUGCAGUUCUAACAGAAAAGUCCAAAACCACAUUUGCUACUUCUCUCCUCCUCGAAAGCUUUUCAACUUGAUCUUGGGUAACAAACACAACAAACCUGUUUAUCAAGUAGUGGUAGAUGUACAGCUUCAGAUAUUUUCCCCUUAGAACACUCUCCCCAAUAAUGAAUCAUGAACCCAAGUGAUAUAAGAGCUAUACCUACGAUCUGUUAUUGAAAUAUUUCUAAACCUUGGUUUGUGAAUGUUCAACCUCUCAGAAGCACCGCCAUGUUUGACACCGUUUAUACUGCUCAUUCUCAACUCGGCAUCGUAGUGAACAGCCGGAGCUUCUCUGAGAGUGACGAUGUAAACAACCGAGAAGUUAUCAGAAUCUUCUUCUUGACACAAAGAACUCACAAGCAUCCCUAACAGCGGUUGGCAAACGGAUUGGACAGCGGAGUCCGGGUCGCAGAGGCUUUGGUGAUGUUGUUGGGGAGAAGAAACAGCACCCACCUGGUUGGAAACUCAUUCUUCCUCUACAAGUCGGUCGGGUCAGAUCCGGUGACCAUGACGGUGCCGAGCCGGAUAUUGAAGAGCUCCGGCAUUCUUCUGGCGUUUUUCAUGGAAAGGUUGGCAAGCACCGCCAUCUCGACCGAGAUCGGGUUUGCGAAUGUGGAAACCAUCGAGUUCGGAAUCGGGUUGUUGUUAGUGGCUCUGGAUACCAACUGUCCACCAGAAAUGCUCGCGCAUAUCACCUCCUGGGGAGGAACGACAUAUCGCGUUUGAGGUUCCUCUGUACGACAUGUCGUCAAUGUUGAAGUGUUUCCUGCUCUGUCAGGUUCUGUUGAACGAUUCCAAUGGGGUAGAGGUCUUGGGAGAGAGAGACCUUGUGUUGACCAGCUCCACCGUUUGAUCAACUUUUGUUGUUGGUGUUGUUGAUACACAAAAUCAGUGAGGACUUUGGUACAACAGAAAAUGUUAAGUUUGUGACCUUCGCUAGAUUGCUCCGUGAUAGGAGCAUAUUUAUGCGACUUAGUAUGUUUGUUUUCGUGCAUUUAUGUUCUUAGUUCUUAGUUAUGUUAGUAGUUUAAGCCAUUUUUGUGUGUUUGUAGGUUCUAUGGGCCAAGGAUGCAAGAAGAUGCAUUUUGGAGCAUUGUGGAGCAUUUUUGGGCUAAGAUUGGAUGGUGCAAACAUGGAGACAUGAGGAUGGACGUUUUGGGCUUUUGUGUGUGCAAAUGUGUGUGUGUAAUUGCAAGGAUAAACACAUGCAAAGAAGCCCACAUGCAAACUCAAGGCAAGAGAGGGAGAAAACACAUGCAAAAGAAGCCCACAUGCAAAGUGAAGACAAAACUCAUGGCAAAGGUGAAGGAAUUGUGUGUGUUUUUGUGAUUGAAAUGAUGAAGCAUGUGUGUGUAAAUGCAAAGGGGAUCUAAACAUGGACAGCACAUGUCAUGUGCAAAGGAGAAACAAAGAUGACAACACACACAUGCAAAGAAGAAAACAGCAAGAAAGGCAUGUGCAAAAGAGAAACAUGGACAACCAACAAAUUCGUCAAAACUGCCUGUGCAGAUUAGCUGACUUUGAAAGCAUGUUACAAACAGCUCAGAAUGAAUUAGAAAAUGAGCCUUAUAUUCAUGGAAAGCUACGGAUGUCUACUUUCUGGAGCAAUUUACGGAUUGUUAAUAUCAUUUUUCUAGAAGAAGUUAUGGGCAUUGUAACACUGAAAGGUUCAGAAACGUGGACAGCACAUACACAAAGAGAAAGGCAAGGCAUGGAUAGUUUGACAUGGGCAGAAAAAUGGGUGGAUUGUUGGCUGAAAUAAUGAAGAACAUGUGUGUACAAAUGCAAAGGAAAAAACACACACACAUGGGCAAAGGAAACACACACACAUGGGCAUAAAAUGGGUUGAUUUGUGGUUGAAAUGAUGGAGGUCAUGUGUGUGUAAAUGUAAAGGGAAAAACAUGGCAGAAAAUGUGUGUGUUUUGUGGUUGAAAUGAUGAAGCAUGUGUGUGUAAAUGUAAAGAGGAAACAUGCCAACACACACCCACACAAGCUCACAUGCAAAGGAAAUGGAGUGGUCCUCUCCCUAGCCUAUAAAUACAUCCACCCUUCACCAUAACAAGGGGGAAGAAAACCAAAGAGAACACAAUCCACCCAUCCACCCUUCACCAUAACCCACCUAUAUCCAUCCACCACCAUAAUUUACCACUCAUCCAUCAAACCACACCUUGUGCCGCUACAAAGAGAAGAAGAAGGAUCUUGGACGUGCUUGCCAUUCAAAUUGGAUUGUUGGAGCGUUUUUAGGUGUUUUCUUUCUUUUGUUUUCAAUGUUUAAAUUUGUUUAUCUUUGCUUUGUAAGUAUGAGUGGCUAAACCUUACUUAGCUAGGGGGAAGUUCGAAGCCAUGAACAUGCUUGAGAUAUGAAUUGAUUUCUUCCAAUUGUGAUUUAAUAAGUUGUGAAUGCAAUUCAAUUAACUACUUUCUUCAAAACUAAUUCUUGUAUGUUGAUUAAGGAUGCAUAUUUAGUUUUCAUGCAUGAAUUUGAUGCUAGGAUAUAAAUGAGUUUCACCUAAUCGUUACAAGUUUAUAUUCAUUGGUAGUGAAGGUUGCUAGUCACAAUCGCGUUAAUUGAAUUCUUGGCAAACGUAUCAUGCAUUCAUAGUUACGAAUGCCUCGUUAACACUUAUGAUUUUCAUAGAACGUAAUGAUCUUUGAUUGUAUCUCUAUUAUGCAUUCAUGUAGAGGACUUUUGGAGAAUAAUUUGGAUUGUCGUAUGCAUUCAUCCAAUUCAAUAAAUCAAGGAAAAUCUGAGGAUUAAUUAGUGCAUCACGGUUAAUCUAGGGUGUUGAGUUUCAUAAUCUAUUGAAAAGCAAUUGGAAAUCAAUUCAUGUACAAGUGUGUCAUGUGUGAAGAAUGGAUCUCUAGCUAAUCCAUCAACCAUAUAUUUAGUUUUACUUUUUAUCUCAAUCACAACCAAAACCAAUACCCCCCAUUUAUUUUCUUGUAUCAAAGUGUGCUUAAGUUUGUUUUGAACUCUUUGAGUCUAGUUUAGUGUUUUAAAGCCUACUUUUGUGUUUUUUAAGUUUCUUCUUAUAUUUUUGAGUCAAGUGAGAGGUUAUUAGCAAGCCCUCCUAAUCCCCGGUCCAGAACGAUACCCUACUUACAUCUAUACUACAAUUGUCAACAAGAGGGUUUAAUUUGUGUGUCAAGUAAUUCUCACAUCACUCCGGUCACUAGUGUGAUGAGUAAGUAAAUGGAUAGGAACAAGGAAGCAAACACAAGAUAUACGUGGUUCACCCAGAUUGGCUACGUCUACGGAGUAGAGGAGUUCUCAUUAAUUGUGAAGGGUUUACACAAGUACAUAGGUUCAAGCUCUCCUUUAGUGAGUACAAGUGAAUGAUUUAGUACAAAUGACAUUCGAAAAUAUUGUGAGAGAAUGAUCUAUAUUUAUAGAAGAAAUUUUCUAGUUUCAUUCUAACAUUGACAUAUGUCGUGUUGUGAUUGGUUUCUGAUGUUGACACGUGUCGCGCUAUGAUUGGCUUCUGAUGUCGACACGUGUCGCACUGUGAUUGGCCUCCUGGUUGGAGGGAAACUCUUCUGGGUCCUUGAUAGUAUAACGUUGACCGGUGCUCAGUAGUUUCGGGAUUGGUCAAGUAUGGUACAAACAGUGCUCCCCUAAGUUCCCGAGUGAGGGAAGCUCCUUGGUUGGGGACUUGCAAGAUCCAAGCCAUUGAGUAAUCACGAAACUUCUAAGUACCGAAGUGUGGUAUCAUUUUCACUUGCCUUAUAUGUCUCAUAUGUAGAUGUGGUAUCUUCUCUGGAAGUACUUUUCCUCCAUCUAGGGGUGGUAUCUUUAACCGAUGAAGAUGCACAAGGUAAUGUAUCAAUUUCACUUGAAGCUUACUUGUAGUUUCGGGCUUGGUCAAAUGCGAUACAAACCCUAUAGUAGAAGUCCCCCAAGUCGCCGAGCUAGGAGAUUUACCGAAAGAGGUAACAGACAAGGUAAGCAAUCAGACUUCCAAGCAAGCAACCUGGAUCGGAGGUUCGACUUCAGCUUCCGGUUGAUUGUUCUCAUUCUCGUUGUGUCGUAAAUAGCAUCAAGGAUAAGGAGAAGCAAAUGGAGAAGAGAUGAUAUGAGAUACUUUUGCUUUUGAAGAAGUAACUUUUCACAGGCUUAUUCUUGAACUGGGCUGGAGGGUUUUCUGGUUCCCUCCAGAGUAUAAGGCCGACUCAAGAAUUUGAGGGUCAAAACAAGUCCAUCAAAUCUAGAGUACGUUCGACCCUGAUGAUAUGGGAUACUUUUGCUGUUGACAAAGUAGUGGAUGUAUCGGCACGUGUUCUGUUGCGUUUGUCUCCACAUGCUUCCUUGUAUCCUUCUCACUUGCCCUAUCUGUUCCUCAGGCAGAUGUGGUAUCUUCUCUGGAAGCAUAAGAUGUUGAAGAUGAGUACUCGAGAGCAAUGCUAGGUAAGUAAUCAGGCAAGGGGUUCCAGGCAGUCAGUUCCUGACUAGAAGCUUGAUUCCAAGUGCUGACUGAUUGCUCUCUUUCUCUCUGUCUUGCAGGUAAGAACAAGGCCAAGGGAAAAGACAGGGAAAAAGCAUGAUAUGGGAUACUCUUACUUUUAACCCUGAUGAUAUGAGAUACUCUUACUCUGGUGUGGCUUGUUUGCAAAGGUAUUAUCGGGAGGAAAAGAAGCUGAGUAUUUUGAGAGACUCUGCUGAGAAUACCCUCUCGGAUGUGAAGAAAAGUUGAGCAUUUUUUUUUAUUUGCAGGUUUGCCUGGCUGUGGAGGAUGGAGGUCGACAUAUAUCGGAGUAUCCCUAACAACCAGUAGUAGUGCUAUUCUUUUACCCUUCUUGGUCAUAGCAAUGUAGUGGGAGCUGCAAGCUUCACGUGUUUUAACUUUGUCAGAGCACUUUGAAAAAGUGGUAUGUGGUAUCUGGAAAGCUGAUGUUGCGUGUGAAGAUUGUAGACAAGAUUUAUCCAAGGAAAUCUGGCUCUCAAAGUUCAGAGAGCGAUGCCUGUUCGGUUUUCGAACAAGCAAUCAUGUCUGGGAUCUGGCUCUCGAGAUUCGGAUAGCGAUGCCUUUUCGAUUUUUGAGAAAGCAAUCCUGUUGGGAGUCUAGCUCUUGAGAUUCGAAGAACGGUGCCUCUUCGAUUUUUGAGAAAGUAAUCCUAUUGGGAGUUUGGCUCUCGAGAUUCGGAGGGCGGUGCCUCUUCGAUUUUUGAGCAAGUAAUAACGCUAUUCCUUUACCCUUCUUGGUCAUAGCAAUGUAGUGGGAGCUGCAAGCUUCACAUGUUUUAACUUUGUCAGAGCGCUUUGAAAAAGUGGUCUGUGGUAUUUGGAAAGCUGAUGUUGCGUGUGAAGAUUGCAGACAAACUUUAUCCAAGGAAAUCUGGCUCUCGAAGUUGGGAGAGCGGUGCCUUUUCGGUUUUCGAACAAGCAAUCCUGUCGGGGAUCUGGCUCUCGAGAUUCAGAGAACGGUGCCUCUUCGAUUUUUGAGAAAGCAAUCUUGUUGGGAGUGUUUUCUCGAAUGUGAGUAAAGGUUGGACAUUUUUGCCAAUCUGUCUUGCCACGGAGCACGGAGGUUGACACACAUUGGGACUUUCUAGUUAUCAAGCAGUGGUGCUGUUCCUUUACCCUUGUGGGUAAUAGUAGGGUAGCUGGACCUUCAAAAUUUAUGUGUCUAAACUUUGUCAGAGAUCUUUAGCAAAGUUAUCUGUGGUACCCGAUGAGCUGAUGUUGAGUGUGGAAAGUGGUGCCUCUUCGAAAUCCAGAGAGUGGUGCCUCUUCGGAAUCCGGAGUGUGGUGCCUCUUUGAUUUUUGAACCAACGACCCUGUUGCCCUAUCUUUUAUAAGGGCACCAAUUGUGUGCAAAGGGUUCAUUCAGAGAGUUAUUGCUUGUAGGAAUUUUCCCCUUACUUCAGAGAUUUAUUGCACCUCAUUUCUCCUUCAUCAUUUCUGAGAAUGUCUGGCCCAUCCGACCGUCGUUUUGACUUGAACUUUGGUGAAGAGGCAGCCAUGCCUUCUCAAGACAACAUAUGGCGCCAAUCCUUCUUAUCCCCUACUGAUCAUCUUACUGUUGGGGACUCUGUGACGAAGAAUGAUAUGACCGCUGCGGUGGUGGCCAGGAACCUUUUCACUCCUAAAGAUAACAGACUACUUUCCAAACGGUCUGAUGAGUUGGCUGUUAAGGAUUCUCUAGCUCUCAGUGUUUAGUGUGUAGGUUCUAUGUCUAAUAUGGCCCAACGCCUAUUUGCUCGAACCCGCCAAGUUGAAUCAUUGGUGGCUGAAAUGAUAAGUCUCAAACAGGAGAUCAAAGGGCUCAAGCAUGAGAAUAAACAGUUGCACAUGCUCGCACAUGACUAUGCUACAAACAUGAAGAGGAAGCUCGACCAACUGCAUGAAUCUGAUGGUCAGAUUUUACUUGAUCAUUAGAGGUUUGUGGGUUUGUUCCAAAGACAUUUAUUGCCUUCGUCUUCUAGGGCUGUACCGCGUAAUGAAGCUCUAAAUGAUCAACCUUCAGUGCCUCAUCCUUCUAGGAUUCUGCUUAGUAUUGAGGCUCUGAAUAAUCACCCUUUGGUGCCUCUUCUUUUUGAGGCUCUGCCGACUGCUGAGACUUCUCCUGAGCAACCUUUGUGAAAGCUUCCUCUUGUUUGUUUAUUUUGAUUCAUGUAUAUGUAUAUAUUUGUAACUUAUCGGAGAUAUCAAUAAAUAAGCUUUGCUUCAUUUCAACGUAUUGUGUUAAAUACACCAAGGCCUUCUUCACUAAGUUCUUUGAAUUUUUCCUUUUGUUGAAGCUUGUAUGUUGAAGCUUUGUGAGUGAAGCAUGUAGGUUGAGGUAGUGCUCCCUUAAUUUCCCGAGUGAGGAAAACUUCUCGUUUGGAGACUUGAAAAAUCCAAGUCACUGAGUGGUCGUGAGACUUCCGAGUAUCAAGGUGCAGUAGCAUAUGGUAGGAGUCCCCCAAGUCUCCGAUCGAGGGAGUUGACGAAUGAGGCAUUUCCUUUCUAAGUGGUAGCCCAAAACUCUUUCUUCAUAUAUAUUUGUUAUGAAAGUUGUUAGGCUCAAAGAAGAGGAGGCUUAGGCAAAUUUUUUUUUUUUUUUCGAAUUUUUGAAUUUUCGAAUUUUUGAAUUUUCGAAUUUCCGAAUUUUUGAAUUUUCGAAUUGCCGAAAAAAAAAAAUAUAUAUAUAUAUAUUUUAAAGCUUUGUAGGUGAAGCUUUGAGGUUGAAGCUUUGUAGGUGAAGCUUUGAGGUUGAAGCUUUGUUGGGCACCAUGAAUUGAUUUUGCUUCACACUAUCUUGAUCAAGAUAGUGUGAAGUUUUUGUAGGUGAAGCUUUUGUGUUGAAGUUUUGUAGGUGAAACUUUUGUGGGUGAAGCUUUUGUAGGUAAAGCUUUUGUAGGUAAAGCUUUUGUGGGUCAGGCUUUUGUAGGUAAAGCUUUUGUGGGUCAAGCUUUUAUGGGUGAAGCUUUUGUAGGUCAAGCUUUGUUUGGCACCAUGAAUUGAUUUUGCUUCACACUAUCUUGAUCAAGAUAGUGUGAAGCUUUGGAGUUGAAGCUUUGUAGGUAAAGCUUUUAUGGGUCUAGCUUUGGAGUUGAAGCUUUUGUUGGGUACCAUGAAUUGAUUUUGCUUCACAUUAUCUUGAUCAAGAUAGUGUGAAACUUUUGAGAAUUUGUAGUUGUCCUUUAUUGAUGAAGCUUUUGUUGGGUACCAUGAAUUGAUAUUGCUUCACACUAUCUUGAUCAAGAUAGUGUGAAGCUUUUGAGAAUUUGUAGUUGUCCUCCAUUGAUGAAGCUUUUGUUGGUGAAGCUUUGGAGUUGAAGCUUUUGUUGAAUUUCCUUUUUUUUUUUUUUUUUUUGGGAAACUAGAAAUUUGAAAAUGUGGGAGAGACAACAUAUACAAAUUUUGCUUCCACACUGUUGAGCAAGAGAUUGUGAUGCAAGCCACACCUUGUAGUAGUCGAAGAUUUGGAUGAACCAUAUAAAUUGAAUUUGCUUCAAACAGUCUUGAAUUUGCUUCGAAGGUUUGAGAAUUGUAGUUGCCUUCCAUUGAUGAAGCUUUUGUUGGCAUCAUAAAUUGGUUUUGCUUCACACUGUCUUGAUCAAGAGUGUGUGAAGUUUUUGAGAAUUGUGGUUGAACUCCUUUGAUGAAGCUUUUGUUGAUACCAUAAAUUGGUUUUGCUUCACACUGUCUUGAUCAAGGAUGUGUGAAGCUUUUGAGAAUUGUGGUUACCCUCCAUUGAUGAAGCUCUUGUUGGCACCAUAAAUUGGUUUUGCUUCACACUGUCAUGAUCAAGAGUGUGUGAAGCUUUUGAGAAUUGUGGUUGCCCUCCAUUGAUGAAGCUCUUGUUGGCACCAUAAAUUGGUUUUGCUUCACAUUAUCUUGAUCAAGAGUGUGUGAAGCUUUUGAGAAUUGUGGUUGCUCUCCUUUGAUGAAGCUCUUGUUGGCACCAUAAAUUGGUUUUGCUUCACAUUGUCUUGAUCAAGAGUGUGUGAAGCUUUUGAAAAUUGUGGUUGCCCUCCAUUGAUAAAGCUCUUGUUGGCACCAUAAAUUGGUUUUGCUUCACACUAUCUUGAUCAAGAGUGUGUGAAGCUUUUGAGAAUUGUGGUUGCCCUCCAUUGAUGAAGCUCUUGUUGGCACCAUAAAUUGAUGAAGCUAAUGUGUUCACCUCUUCCCCCCCCUUUUUUUUCGGAUUUUUUUUUUAGGGGGAGAUGGGGUGCUGCAAGUUUGAAAUUUGAAAACUCCUUAGCUUGUGUGGAAGUUUGAAAACUUUCCAUGUAGGGUUUUCUCAUGGUUUGAAUUUUGAAUUUUGAAUUUCUUUGGCCAUGUUGAACCCUAUAAGAAUGAGAAGUUUCCACUCUUUUCAUUGUCUUCAUUUGCUCAUUUUGUAGUGAUUUUUGGAGAUAGAGUGCUCUUAUAGUUGAGAGGGAUUCCGGCAUUGCUUUGCACCAUCUUCAGGUUGGUAGUCUUCUCCACUAGAUCACAUGCUUUCAUUCUUGUUGAAUUGUUUGAGUGUUCAUGUAUUUGGUUGAGAACAUAAUGAAUUGAUUGAGCUUUUCUCCACGCCCUAGGAACUUCCUUAUGUUUCGAUCUUUCAUGUGGUGAUAGAGUUUAUUUUUGUUUGUUGUAGAUGUUAGAGUUUGGAAGUCUUAGUGAUGGGGGCUCCCUUAACUCUAACUCUAGGUUUGAGCUUGCAAUGUUGGAGUCUUCAGGGCUUUUGGAGUCUUGUACAAAAAAUUCAAGAUUGGGUGAUCUUCGCAAUUGCCAAGCUUUAGCCAAUAUUUGUUCUUCCUCCUUCAUGUCAGUGGGUGAGGGGGUUGUUUGUGACGCCAUACCCAUAUUUCGCUCUGAGUUCACAGCAGACCAUUUAGUGCAAAACUUGUUAGAUAGCGAAAAGCAGCUUGAGGCCCUAAGGCAAUCAUGCAGUAUCCCCCGUAGUGUAGGAAUGCGUUUGGUGCAUCAUGAAGAAUUGUCCUCUGAACCACCCAAGGGUCAUGUUAUGUUCUAUACCCAGAUAUUAUUUAUUUUAGGGGUGAAGCUGCCUUUGCACCCGUGGUUGCAACGGAUGCUGUCUUUUAUUGGAUAUGUGCCUGGGCAACUCUACCCUGGUUUUUGGGAUACCUUGAUCGGGUUUUAUAUUAUUUGGAUGGAAUGUGGGUUAGGUGAGCCUUCCUUUCGUCAAUGGCGCUACUGCUAUAAGAUGCGCCCGGUGAAAGCAUGCACUGGGUAUGCCGAGUGUGCAUGUCGUAGUAAGAGAGAGCGUAUUGUCUUUGGUAAGAAAAAGGCGUACUGCACUUAGAAAAACUGUUGGUGCUUUCUUUAUAAUGAUUGGGAGUAUGCUAAAGGUGUCACGCCUGAGCGAUGUGUUCCUACUCACUUCCAAACUGUAGGUUGUAAUGUAUCCAUUGUUUGCAUUAUUUGAUAUUUAUCGUGAUUUUCUCUUGCUUCUAACAUUUUUUCUUCGUGCAGUGACGCGAGGGACCAUCAAGCUGUCUGGACGAGAGCUAGCUGACGUAGAGAAGGUGUUGAGGGUACCCAAAGAGGAUAGACAUUUGGGCAAGCUAUGACCCUUAUUUCGAAAGUACGGUUUCCAGCCCUUAGUGUCGGAGUGCCAGAGACGAACAAGUAAGUUGUGUCUUUCAUUUCGCCCCUUCUUUCUUUUACAAAGUUGCAUUCCUUACUUUGGUUUUUCAUAUUAAGUGGAGAAAGUGGGCAAGAAAGGGGAGACUAACGCCAAGAAAGGGAAAGCACCCAUGUUAGUUCUUGUAGACGACAUUUUAUUUCACAAGGGAGCUCGUAAACACCGGGUGAGGCCAACCCCUAAACCUAAGUCGCAAAAUAAGGUCUUCAAGAUUGCUACCUCAAAGAAGGCUGAAGCUGAGGCCAUUGGGUGUGCUGCUACCAUAGUUGCAGGGGAGGAGAGACAACUGUUGCCUCCUCUUCCUACCAUCAAUCCCAUAUUUCCUCCAACCAUGGAGUCUACUGACUAUGAAGGUGGCCCUAGCUGUAGCCGUAAGAGAAAGUACAAGGAAGAGGUUGGCAGCAUUCCUUGGAAGGACUUGAAGGUUGCCAUGUAGCCAAGUAGUUUUAGGUAUGUCAAUAAUUGCCUGGCAGGACGUCGAUCCACUGUUGUUGAGCUUGGCGAGCCACUAGAGGAGAACGAAUCAGAUCGUGACCGGAUGAUGAGGCUAUCUUCUUAUGUAAGUGUUACUUUGUCAUUUCUCUGCUUUCUCCCUUUUUUUCCUGGUAGUGACGAUUAUCUUGUCAUGUAGGUUAUGACCGAGUACGAUGACAGAUUGCGAGAAUUCGAGCGGUACAAGGCAAAGUUUAAAGAGAAUAAGCAGUUUGUGAAUGAUGCCAGAAAAACGAGCAAAGCUUUGGCUGAUGCCAUCCGCCUUAAGGAUGAAAACUUUGAGAGUUUGAAGAGGCGGAAUGGUGAGAACGUGAGGCUCAAGAAACAAUUGGAAGCGACUAAGGAACAGUUAGAGACAACCAUCCUUGAGGUUUCCAAGGUUAAAGGGGAGUUGGAUAGUGCCUUGGUUGAGGUUUAUAGGCUGAAAAGGAGUAUCCCAACUGAAAGGGAUGCUGCUGUGCAGGAGUUCUUUGGUUCCCAGGCCUUUCACGAUGCUUUUAGACCUCACUGCAUCCGAGCGACUAAUUUUGAGAAAAGGAAAUGGAUGGCCGUCCUUGAGCGUUACGACAAUGGAAGCAUUAUCCGAAAGUACCGUGAUGAGAUGGAUGAGUACUGACAAAAGGGUGAAGCCUUCGUCUUCGCAGUUGAUCCUAGUAGUAAUGAUGACUCUGAUAAUGAGGCUAGUAUCAGUGAGCAGUCUCAGGAGAGUGAGGAUGGUCCUGGAGAUGCUGAGGAAGGUGCUGAUGACGAUGGGGUUGAAACGCAGAGUGAUAUUGUUAGGGGUUCGGCCUCAGAUGAGGAUGACUCGUAGUGCCCUCUUUUUCUGCAUGUACUCUGGAUGUACGAGUUUGUUGUUUGUGUGGCAUGUGCCAUGUACUCUGGAUGUACUAGUUUGUUGUUUGUGUGGCAUGUGCCAUUUACUUUGGAUGUACUAGUUUGUUGUUUGUGUGGCUUGUGCCAUGUACUCUGGAUGUACUAGUUUGUUGUUUGUGUGGCUUAUGCCAUGUACUCUGGAUGUACUAGUUUGUUGUUUGUUACCAAGUAUUUGCAUUAUCAUUGAUGAAUGUCUGCCUAUGUUUGAGCAAAUCCUUUGUUUAGAUAUAAGCCAUAACUUGGAUGUACUAGUUAUGUCCAGUACUGUUUGUUUAUUUGUAUAGUCUUGUUGACAUAUACUUAGACUUGAUUUCCUGUUGGAAGCAUUCAUGUUGAAGCUUUGAACCCGAGUGUUUCAUUGCUAGGAAUGUAAGAGGAUUACGAUCGAGUUGUCUAAAUCACCUCUUUAUUGAAUUCAUGCCAAAUAGUUUUCGUUACAUAGGAUGCCAAACGGCUGAAGCUUAACAUUUGUACAAUGUGAGUUUACUUGUAAUAGUACUUCAAGUGAUCAGCGUUCCAUGGAUGGCCAAUGGUCUUGCCAUCGAAGCUUCUAAGCUUGUAGGAGCCAGGGCGACUGAUGCCAACAACUUCAAAUGGUCCAUCCCAGUUUGGACUAAGUGUUCCUUCACUCGGGACUCUGUCACAGAGUAAUCUUUUCUUUAAUACCCAGUCCCUUACUUUGAAAGAACGAGGUUUGACCCUAGAGUCAUAAUAGUUGGAGAUGCGCUACUUGUAGGCGACAUUCCUCAAGUGAGCCUGGUUUCUGUGUUCCUCGACUAGAUCUAAGUUGAGGGUAAGUUGCUUGUCAUUUUCGUUUUGCACGUAGUUCUGGACUCGGAACGUUGCUUGCUCAAGCUCAACUCAGACAACUGCCUCUGUACCAAAAGCAAGUGAAAAUAGGGUUUCUCUUGUUGAUGUCCGAUACGAAGUGCGGUAUGACCAAAGAACUUGAGGUACAAAUUCUAGCCAACAACCUUUAGCCUUGUCCAAGCUGGUUUUCAAAGUUCGCUUGAUCAUUUUGUUGAUGGCUUCAACUUGUCCAUUAGACUGGGGAUGAGCUGGGGAGGCAAAACAUAAGUUGAUGUUGAACUUAGAGCAGAACAUCAUGAACUUAUUGUUGUCGAACUGUCGCCCGUUGUCAGUGACUAUCGCAUUGGGAAUGCCGAAUCUGCAAAGGAUGUUCUUCCAUACGAAGUCUUCUAUUUUUGCCUCAGUAAUGGUUGCCAAGGGUUCUACUUCGGCCCACUUUGUGAAGUAGUUAACUGCAACGAUUGCAUAGCGAACCUUGCCCUUCCCUGCAGGCACUGUGCUGAUCAAAUCAAGUCCCCAUUGGGCGAAGGGCCAAGGGCUGAUCAUAGGAGUGAGCGGCUCGGGAGGGGAGUAAGGAAUAGUUGCGUAUCGUUGAUACUUAUCACAUGAGCGGGAUAUUCUGAUGGCAUCUUGGUGGAGUGUUGGCCAGUAAUAUCCUUGGCGAAAAGCCUUGUGUGCUAGGGAUCGAGAUCCAGCAUGAUCUCCGCAGACUCCUUUAUGUAUUUCCCGAAGGACAGUUUCCGCCUCUGCCGGCGUAAGGCAUCUUAGGUAUAGUAGGUUAAAACCCCGCUUGUAAAGUUGGUUAUUAAUGAUCAAGUAACGGGUAGCCUUGUAUCGAAUCUGCUUAGCUUGAACUUUGUCAUUUGGAAGGGUGCCAUGAGCAAGGAACCUAUAAAUUGGGGUAAUCCAACUAUCCCCUUGUUGUAAGUUGCACACUUCCGCAACCAUGGUGCUUGGUGCUACCAACAAUUCGACUUGAAUUUUUCUCCCAAUCUUGUCUUCCACCGCUGAGGCAAGGCGAGCCAAAGCAUCUGCAUGACUAUUUACCGCUCGAGGAAUUUGGGUGAUCUGGUAGUGGAAGUGCUUAAGCAACAAUUGUGUUUAUGCCAGAUAUGCAGCCAUUGAGCUAUCCUUAAUGUCAAAGUUGUUGGUGACCUGGUUAACCACCAAUUGGGAGUCACUGAAGAUAUCAAUUCGUUUAACCCCAAGGUGUUUGGCCAAACGUAAGCCUGCUAGGAGGGCUUCAUAUUUGGCCUCAUUGUUCGAAACCUUGAAUUUGAAACGAAUAGCAUACUCCAUUGCCACUUUGUUAGGGGUCAUAAGGACUAGUCCUGCUCCACAACCCUGUUAGUUGGACGAGCCAUCAACAUAUAGACUCCAUGCUGGGGCUGUUGGUUCUAUUUUCUGAGCUUCCGAGGGUAAUGAAACCACUUCUUUAGGUGUAGAAACAAUGUCAACAUGAUAUGUGAAGUCGGCGAUAAAGUCUGCCACUGCUUGGCCCUUCUCAGCUGGCUUUGGUUAGUAGGAGAUGUCAAACUCACCCAAUGCUAUUGCCAAUUUGAUCAUUCGCCCAGAAGUGUCAGGACUUUGGAGUAUCUGUCGAAGAGGAUGAUUGGUAAGCACGAUGAUGGAGUGUGCUUGGAAGUAAGGGCGAAGUUUUCGAGCAGACAUGACCAAUGCUAGAGCCAAUUUCUCAAUGUUGGAGUAUCGUGUCUCCGCAUCUUGUAAGCCCUUGCUAGCGUAGUAAAUAGGCCGUUCGACAUUACCAUCCAUUCGAAUGAGAACAGAACUUACUGCUGAAGCCGAUACCGACAAAUAGAUAAUGAGAGUGUCACCAACCUCAGGUUUGGAGAGCAAAAGGGCUUUACUCAUGUAGUCUUUGAGGUUCUUGAAUGCCUCAGCACAUUCAUUAGUCCAUGUAAUGUACUUCUUACUUCCCUUAAGUGAUUUGAAGAAAUGAGCACAUCUGUCUGUGGCCUUAGAGAUGAACCUAGUUAAGGCUGCCACCUUGCCGGUAAGGCUCUGGAUGUCUUUUGAAGUUACCGGUUCCUUCAUAUUGAGGAUUGCUUUGAUCUUCUCGGGAUUAGCCUCAAUGCCUCGUUGGCUCAUUCGAUACCUCUUUAGAAUGGUGAAAGUUUCAGAUAGGUUGGUAAUGUGUUGGUCAGCAUGUUUGCUCUUGACUAGCGUAUCAUCAACGUAAACUUCCAUGCUCUUCCCAAUCUGUUCGGUGAACAUUGAAUUAACCAGUCUUUGAUAAGUUGCUCCUGUAUUCUUUAGGCCGAAAGGCAUGACUUUAUAGCAAUAUAGUCCCCUAUCAGUAGUGAAGGAUGUGUGUUCUUGGUCCGGAAGGUUCAUCAGGAUUUGGUUGUAUCCUGAGUAAGCAUCCAUGAAGCUCAGAAGUUCACACCCUGCCGUAGAGUCUAUAAGUCUGUCUAUGAGAGGAAGAGGAAAGCUAUCCUUCGAGCAUCCUUUGUUUAAGUAGGUGUAAUCGACACACAUUCUCCACAAGACCUUUUGGAGCAGAAGACUUUCCUUGGUCGGAUUCUUCUUAACAAGGACAACAUUUGCUACCCAUGUUGGAUAAUUGACUUCGCGGACGAAGCCUAUGCCUUUGAGUUUUUCAACUUCUGCCUUCAUUGCCUCAUACCGUUCAACGUCAUAAGAUCUUCGCUUCUGUCUCACUGGCUUGGUCUUGGGGUCAAUACUUAAACGAUGACAGAUGAUAUCGGGAGAGAUGCCUGGCAUGUCCUUGUAUGACCAGGCGAAGACCUCAGUGUUCUCUUGCAAAAAAGAGAUCAAUGCCAACCAAAUGGAUGGUGACAAGGUGGUACCAAUCUUCACUAUGCGAUCCGGAUAAUCUUUUGAGUUAGAGACCUUCUCCAACUCUUCAGCGGGUUGUGCUUGCUGGGUGAAAGAGUCAUCUCGAGGAUCGUCGGGUUAACUGUUGCUACCGUGAAGAUCCAAGUUGGCUUCGUCUGGGCUGGCCUUUAUGACUUGAUCAUGUAUAGAAAGGGUUUCCUUGGGCACAAGCAUGUGCUGUUGCUUAACCGAAGUGUUGUAACAUGAUCGUGCACUAAGUUGAUCUCCUCUGAUGUAACCAUUGCCAUAAGGGGUUGGAAAUUUCAUCAACAACAUAUGUGUGGAUACCAUGGCCUUAAGAUCAUUGAUGCAUGUGCGUCUGAAGAUGACAUUGUAUGCCGUUGGGCAAUCAACCUCCAGGAAGUUAGUGGUAAUGGUAGCUGUGUAAGGGCCUGUACCAAUGGUGAAAGGUAAGUGUAUGCUUCCCAAAGGUUGCACGAUAUCACUGGAGAAGCUUAUCAAAGGGGAAAUCGAGCGAUCGAGCAAGUGUUCAGCUACAUUAAGUGCCCUGAAAGCUUCAGCAAACAUGAUAUUGACCGAAGCCCCCCGUGUCUACCAGGAUUCGUCGUACUUCAAAGUUGGCUAUGUGAGCUUCCACGAUCAGUGGGUCGUUGUGAGGGUAGAUGAUACCUCUUUCUUCCUCAAGGUAGAAACAUAUGGAUCCCAGUUAGGCUUUUGAUACUUACCUCCCCUGAUGUCUUCCACGUGAAACACUUGGUGGCCAGACCUUAAAGAUCGUUCACUAUUUUUCAUGGCCCUGUUGGAAGAUUUAGAUAUAGGUGUGCCACCACUUAUGGAAUAUAUCACAUUUACCUGGCGUUGGUUACGGUUACCCCUUGGAGUGUGAAUGAGGAAUUGAUCAAUUUUUCCUUCAUGUGCCAAAGCUUCAAUAUGAUCACGAAUGGUGAUACACUUCUCGCCGUCAUGGCCGUUAUGCUCGUGGUUGCAGCAAAACGUGCUCGUAUUCUUCAUGGGCUUGUAAUCCGGGUGCCUCGGCUUUGGCUUCGGUAUCAAGUGUGCUAUGCUGGGGUAAAUGACCACACAUGUGGCGUUCAAAGGUGUGUAUGCCUCAUACCUCGGGGUAGAGGCUGUCCUGACACGUGCUUGACCCACUGUGUUGACUGCCUGGGGUCGGGGAUUAUCAUGGUGAUACCAUUGGUUAUCGCGGUAAUGUCCCUUACUCUUUUUACUAAAAUGAGACUGGUAAGGAUGGAAAUCUUUCCUUUUACCCUGAAAUUGAUAUGUCUGUUGACUUGGCGAAGUAUUAAGUAAGGCAGGGGGAGGCACCGCUGCUGUUUGGAAGGUCGAGGUCUUCUCAUUUGGUUAGAUCUGGCUUCCACUCCCUACUUGCCGAUUGUGAGGGAGAGAACCUCUGUAAUGUGAGAGGAGAUGUGAAAAGGUGAGGAGGGGGCUUUAGGCCUAAGAGUUGGCCUCCUCUAAUUGUGAGGGUGAGGGGUCUUUUUAUAGAAUAAAGACUCCUCACUUAUUACAUAUUUGCCCAUUCCUUUAUCACAUAAUUACAUUUAAGUCCCCCGAGUAUUUAUACGAGAUCUAAAUACGAGGCCCUAAAUAUGGAUAAAUAACUCACGUUUCCUUACUUCAAUUUCUUGAUUCUUCACACAUUGAUUUAUGAACAACAUUUAACCACCAAAUCAUAAGAUUAAAUCUCACAUUUUCCACCAAUCUCCUUCACAUUGCUCAAUUCCCCAAACAAGGCUAUUGUCUUAAUUAUUUAGUCUCAUUUAUUGUAUGGUUGCAUCUAACGUCUCGUUAGACUGCCUACGUACCCUAAACAGGGAUCAAGCCAUUCGUAGUUCACACUAGUACUUCAAAGCAUUCACAAUAAUUAUAUGUAGGUAAUAUGCAUAAAUCAAUUUAAAAACGUUUGUGGAAUUAUCAAUCAUAUAUAUAUAUAUAUAUAUAUAUAUAUAUUAUACACGAUAGAAAGGAAAAGACCCACUCACCUAAGGUUCGCACUACGACUCCUUAGCACGCAUAUCGAGACAUCAUAAACCAAUGUCGCCUAGAACAAUUAUCAAAUCACGUCUCAGAGUUCUUACCAAUAGAAUACAUAAUUUAUAGAAAAAACACAUCCCCACGUAAUUCACUCCGGAAGAUCUGCAUCACGGAUUUCCGAUCUGUUACUUCCAAAGAUUCACAUUAUGUUCCUAGAACAACGUCCUAAUAUUUCAUUAUGAUCCAACGGUCGGAUCUCCGCCAAUUGUCAAAACCAAGUGGCGGUCAACAUUUUAUUUUAUGAACUGACAAAUCCAAUUUGGGAAGAUCCAUAUGUCGGAUUCCCGAACCGUAAGUUCUAUGGUCCUCAAAUAUUACGUAUUAUAAUGUAUUAAAGUUUGGUGACGAUCUAACAGUCAAAUUGUCGAUUCACACUUUUACCAAAUAACGUGACGUAGAGAAUUUAGGUUCCAACCAUCAACCUAAGUCAUACAGUUACCAAGAUUGAACUCAAGGCAUCUAAUUUAUCCUAAGAAUGACAUUGACGGCCCCCUGGCCACGCACCGCCGUGGGUGGCAAUCGGCCGCCUUGACUCGCCGAAAAAUCCAACUAUUUCUAAAAAUUACCAAAUUUUACGGAAAUGAAGAUCUCAAUGAGUAGAACAAAUUUUAUACCUGUGGCUAAGUCCAAUUUCACUCAAACCCGCCGGAAACCCUAAGAUUGGUGUUUUUCGAUUCGACUUCCUCGAUGUUCCAACACCCCUACAACUGCUUGGGUCUUGCUCCUAGGUCCAAGAGGAGUUGAUUAAGGGUGGUGGUGGGUGGUGAAACUCGCUGGAUCGGAGGAAUCACUGUCGAACACCUCCAGUGCUCCGGUGAUGUUCUUCGCGUUUUUGGGCCUAAAACUCUUCAAUCUUGAGUGAAGAUGGAAGAAGAAAGAUUGGGGAAACAAAAUGGCAGAAAAUGGCUGGAUUUUGACUGGUUUGGGUGUGCCGGUGGAUUGGCUGACGAGAAGGUUUUUUUUUUUUUUUUUUUCCUUCUCCCUUCCUGAUUGGUUCUUCUUUUCCUCUCUUAAAAUUGAUUGGUUACCACUCCCACAUGGUGGGAGUUUGAAUUAAUUUAUAACUAAACUUUAAAUAACCAAUUUCAAAUGUCUGUAACUAUACUGAUAUAAUCCGAACUCGCAAAUGGCUUUCGCCUAUGCGUUCAUACCAACGAGUACUACACAAAUGCGCUAAGUGAAUAAGUCAUACAUUUCUCUACAGGUUCGUUAAUGAAAGUCAAAACCUUCACCUCUAGGGCAUUUUCGUAAAUUCAUUCUUUUAAAAUUUAUAAAAUCGUAAAACUAGGGACGGGUUGUCACAUAGAAAUACAUUAUCACAUUAAUUUCAAGGACUUCGAUCAAAAAUUGAAAACCAACAAUUUAUCAGUCAAACCUGGAAAAUACUACACACAUGAUCAUAUUAUAGCUUCCUUGGAGAAAAUUUUGUAUUUAGUUAGCACUAUUAUGGCCCUGUGCUACAUCCUGGUUUCAUAAACAUUUACAAGAGAAAACCCAAAAAACUCUUGGUAGAAGCGGCACCACUCCUUAUGUUUAUAUAGGUGAGGUUACUUGUAUAUGUUCCUGUUAUUCGAACAUCUUAUAUUAUUAUACCUCAUUAAGAAUUUAAAUUUCAUCCUCUAUAUCACUUAUCAGUAACUUGUUAUUACCCAUUGAACUUCGGUCUAGUGAUGUUCUAGGCAAAGUUAGGUUACCAUUACUGGUGAUUUAUAGUAAAUGGUUUCAGCCCCAUUCCACUAGAUGUACUUUGUACCAUAUCUCUCGAGAGUCCCUUAGUAAAAAGAUCUGCCAAAUUUUUCUUUAACCUUACCUAAGUUAUGUUCACAACUCCUUGUGUUAUUAUCUGUUUGACAAAUUCAUGUCUAAAGCUAAUAUGUCUAGAUUUGCCAUUAUAUACUUUGCUAUAAGCUCUAGACAAUGUAGCUUCAUUAUCGUAAUACAAAGAAAUAGAUGGCAUUGGUUGUGGCCACAACUCUAUGUCAGACAAUAAAUCUUUCAACCAUUAUGCUUCUUUGCAUGCGGCUGUUAAUGCUAUAUGUUUAUACCAUACUUAGGGCCUUCGUAUUUAGAUCUCAUACAAAUACUCGGGGGACUUAAAUGUAAUUAUGUAAUAAAGGAAGGGGCAAAUAUGUAAUAAGUAAGGAGCCCUUAUUCUAUAAAAGAACUCCUCACUCUCACAAUUGGGAGAGGCCAACUCUUAGGCCUGAAGGCCCCUCACCCUCUCACAUCCCCUCUCACAUUACAGAGGUUCUCUCCCUCACAAUCCUCUCAGAGAAAUACAAUAAUCAGUGUGGACGUAGCACAAACCUUGGGGUGAACCACGAUACAUCUUGUGUUAUUUACAUUACUUGCAGAUUCACGGUCGGAUUUACGUUGUCCCAAGACCUGCGGUUUUGUGCAUCAACAUUUGGCGCCGUCUGUGGGAAUCGACACGAAAACCAGGUACCCAAGAACCUGCAGAAGCCCAAGAACCAAAGUCACUGCAAAAACCAGGUACCCCUUGGGUCGGAUCAUCGGCGGCACCCUCUGACACACCCCGAUCCUAAAAUCAGGGCGUGACAGACCAUUUUGUCACAUCCCGGCCCGGGGCAGACCACUUCCCGGGCCCGUUCCACCACUGUAACACGAUAUUGUCCGCUUUGACCCCCAACCACGGCCUCAUGGUUUUGUUUCUGGGAACUCACAAUCAACUUCCCAGUGGGUCACCCAUCAUGGGAGUGCUCUGGCCACCUUCUCGCUUAACUUCGGAAUUCCAAUGGAACCCGAAGCCAGUAAACUCCCAAAAAGCCUCAUACUAGGUAGGGAUGGGAAUAUACAUUUAAGGAUCACUCCCCUGGGCGAUAUGAGAUGUUACAAUCCACCCCCCUUAGGGGCCCGACGUCCUCGUCGGCACACUUCCGGCCAGGGAUUGGCUCUGAUAUCAUUUUGUCACAUCCCGGCCCAGGGUGGACCACUUCCCCGGCCCGUUCCACAACCGUAGCACGAUAUUAUCCACUUUGGCCCCAAACCACGCCCUCACGGUUUUGUUUCUAGGAACUCACGAUCAACUUCCCAGUGGGUCACAUAUCAUAGAAGUGCUCUGGCCACCUUCUCGCUUAACUUCGGAGUUCCAAUGGAACCCGAAGCCAGUGAGCUCCCAAAAGGCCUCGUACUAGGUAGGGAUGAGAAUAUACAUUUAAGGAUCACUCCCGUGGGCGAUGUGGGAUGUUACACCCUCUACCCUGGCCUCAUGGUCACCACUGCUAGGGGUGGGCACGGUUUUGUUCGGUGCGGUUUUGAGUGAAACUGAAACCGAAAUUGAUUUUUUUCGCGGUUCGGUUCGAUGCGGUUUUGAAGCCAAAACCAAAAUGAAUCCAAACCGUUUGGUUUGGUUCGGUGUGGUUUCAAACGGUUUCGGUUUGGUUUUUAAGAAAAAAUGUACAAUUUGCAAUUUAACAUAUUAAUAAGCAUUUUUCAAUAGUAAUAGGAAAAAGACAUUUGUUAUGUAAACAAUUAGCAUGUUGUAUGCAGUUGUGAUGUUAAAACAUGUUUGUGCAAUAAAAGGGUGUCCCUUACAAUGUUUAUCAUAAAACAAGUUGAAUAAAUUUGAAUUCAUUAAACAUGAGCAAAACUUUGAUACUAGAAUAUGUGAUAUCAUGCUUCAAAUGAGUGGACUUCAUUAAAUCAUUGUUCGACUCUUGAUAACAAGAUUAGUCCACCCUUGUACAUAUAUGUGUGUGUGUGUGUGAUGGUAUAAAAUAACAAAGGUCCUUCAAGUUAAUGAACAAAAGAAAGUGAUGAAUGAUGAUAUUCUAGUAUGGUUAAGUCACAUACUAAGUAUAUGGAUUCUAACAAACAACCAAUUAAAACAUGAAAUCUAAUAUAGACAUUUAAUUAAAUGUUUAUUAAUAUUUGCGGUGCGGUUCGGUUUCGGUGCGGUUUUCAAAAGCCAAAACCAAAACCAAAUCGUUUUCUAUGUUGCGGUUCGGUUUCAAAACCGAAACAGUUUCAAAACCGAAACAGUUUCAAAACCACAAAACCAAACCGUUCGGUGCGGUUCGAUUUGAUUCAUGUUUUGGUUUUGGUUUUCGGUUCUAAGUGCCCACCCCUAACCGCUGCCAUCAUUUAUUGGGCCCUCCGAGUCCUUAGCUUCGCCGUACACAUUCGUAAAGUCUGCGUCCUGACCGCUCCAUUUUUUGCCUCCAACACCACCCUCGUAGCAUAUUUCUUCGGUAAACUGAUUUGGGACACCAGCGCCGGCCUUGUCGCCGUCGCAUUGAUCGUCAUUUGCCCAGGCUACAUCUUCAGAUCGGUGGCCGACUCCUACGACAAUGCGGGUGUCGCCAUUUUUGCCCUGCUGCUGACGUUUUACUUGUUCAUCAAGGCUAUCAAUACCGGCUCGCUCGCUUGGGCGUUGGGCUCCGCAUUGGGCUACUUUUACAUGGUCUCUGCCUUGGGAGGUUAUAUCUUUAUAAUCAACUUGAUUCCCAUUUACGUUUUGGUGCUUUUGAUCACCGGGCGAUAUUCCAUGAGGUUGUAUGUCGCCUACAAUUGCACUUAUAUUCUCGGAAUGUUACUCGCUAUGCAAAUUCGCUUUGUCGGCUUUCAGCACGUUUAGUCUGGGGAGCACAUGGCUGCCAUGGGCAUCUUCUUCUUGAUGCAGGCGUUGGUGGUGUUGCCUUGGGAGUCGGCACUGCAUCUGGCUAUAUCUCUCCAUGGACAAGGUGGUUUUAUUCCUUGCUAGAUCCAACAUAUGCCAAGGAUCACAUUCCUAUUAUUGUAUCUGUCUCUGAGCACCAACCGACGGCUUGGUCAUCUUUUAUGUUCGAUUUUCAUAUCUUGCUCUUCUUUUUCCCUGUCAGUCUCUACUUCUGCUUCAAGCGUUUGUCAGAUGCCACCAUAUUUGUAGUAAUGUAUGGUCUUACAAGCAUGUACUUUGCUGGUGUCAUGGUUCGGUUGAUUCUUGUUGCCACACCUGCAGUUUGUCUUAUUAGUGCCAUUAAUGUCUCUGCGACUAUAAAGAAUUUGACACAGUUGGCAAGGGCAAAGGACAAGGUUUCCCAAACUGGUUCCACCAAAGGCGCUAGUAGCACAAGGGGUUCUUCAAAGCACAGCUGUUUCCUUUCUGUCAUCGUCCUCGGUUGCAACAAACAAAUUAGAUAUGGCUUCCUUUAAUCAUCCAACUACUUUUGAAAACUGUGUAAAGAAAAAGUGGUGCAGUCAUAGAGGGGUCAUGUGCUCACAAAGAAGAAAAGCAAAAGCACUGACAGAAGCAAUGUUAUUGGUAGAUUUAGAUCAAAAUCCACUGCGCCUACACAGAAAAAAAAGAAAGUGAAAAGAGAAAGCAAAAGGGAAGCACAUGGGGACACUGCAAAAGUAAGGAAUAAACACCACACCAGAAUGAUAUAAUUUAUUUUUGUUAGCUUUCGGAGACAUCUGUAUAAACCCCAUCAGAGGGUAAUAAAAAAAACAGAAAAGCCCAAAAUAAAUGGGUUGGAAUGUUGUGUGGAGGGCGAAGGCCCAUAAGCCCAAAAUAGCACCAACCAGGUGACAAAAAGUACGGCCAGACUACAAAAAAUUAUUCGGCAGCCUGUCGCUAUUACUACCAACUAGGUGAUCAAAAGUACGUCAAGUACUCUAAAAUUAUACACGAGCAUCACUCAUGACAAUCAUACAUAAACAUUCAUGACCAUCAUUCAUGUCAACAUUCAUAAGCAUCACUCAUGUCAACAUUCAUGAGCAUUACUCAUGUCAACAUCCAUGAGCAUCACUCAUGUCAAUCAACAUAAACAUUCAUGAGCAUCACUCAUGUCAAUCUAGCUUCAAAAGCUUCAUUUACAAAAGCUCUAGCUUCAAAAGCUUCAUUCACAGAGCUCUAGCUUCAAAAGCUUCAUUUACAAAAGCUCUAGCUUCAAAAGCUUCAUUCACAGAGCUCUAGCUUCAAAAGCUUCAUUUACAAAAGCUCUAGCUUUAAAAGCUUCAUUUACAGAGUUCUAGCUUCAAAAGCUUCAUUUACAAAAGCUCUAACUUCAAAAGCUUCACUUACAGAGCUCUAGCUUCAAAAGCUUCAUUUACAAAAGCUCUAGCUUCAAAAGCUUCAUUCACAAAGUUAUAGCUUCAAAAGCUUCAUUUACAAAAACUCUAGCUUCAAAAGCUUCACUUACAGAGCUCUAGUUUUAAAAGCUUCAUUUUCAAAAGCUCCAGCUUCAAAGCUUCACUUGCAAAGUUUCACCUAUAAAGCUUCGGUGCAGGGUGUUUAUACCAUAUUUAGGGCCUCGUAUUUAGAUCUCGUACAAAUACUCGGGGGGCUUAAAUGUAAUUAUGUGAUAAAGGAAGGGGUAAAUAUGUAAUCAGUGAGGAGUCCUUACUCUAUAAAAGGACCCCUCACCCUCACAAUUGAGGAGGCCAAUUCCUAGGCCCUCUCACCCCCUCUCAACGCUCUCACUCCCAGAGCUCUCUCUCCCUCAAAUAAAUACAAUCAGUGUGGACGUAGCCCAAACCUUGGGGUGAACCACGAUACAUCUUGUGUUAUUUACAUUACUUGCAGAUUCAUGAUCGGAUUUACGUUAUUCCAAGACCUCCAAUUUUGUGCAUCAACAUUUGGUGCCGUCUGUGGGAAUCGACACAAAAAGUUAUGUCGGUUCUCUUUCAUCUUUUUCAUCUCACCACUGUCCAUCGUGGAUCGGCAAAAAUCCAUACAGAGACACAUCCACGGAGAUAAUAGACGAGAAGAAGCUGCAAAGCCACCACGUUCUUAAUAGCCAAGGGAACUUGAUUAACUUACCAUCUGCAGAUUGCCCAUUUCCAACACGUGUCAACUGAUGAAAUUGCCCAUUUCCAUGUCCUUGGACUCUCACAUAGAGAGGGCCCUCUGGACUCCGGACCAAAAUCCUCCACUCGUGUUUUCGAUCUCGCCGCCCAGAUCUCCGCUGACCUCUCCCCCUUCUCUGAACCCCCUGCCCUCGUAGAUGUCGCCAACAACACCUUUCUCUUCCUCGCCGACUUGGCCCAUCAAAUCCCCAUUUUCGUCACUGUCGACUUCAUCCGUGCCAAAUCUCACGGCUCCGGGACCCUGUCCAGUGGCUCCCCCAUGAUUUCCUUCGACUUGAAGCUCAAGAGAUGGAUCUCGACGUUCCUGGAGCACGGGACCGUCGACGACCUCCUGGUCCUGUCACUCACCUACGGCGGUGAAAUGAUCUUCGACUUGGAGAGCAUGAGGAAGAUUAUCUCUGGGUUCGUGGAGAAAGAGAAGAGUGUCGUUGUCUGCAACACCGAUGAUUUCAGGGAAGUUUGCUUGGUGGCAAUGACUAGGUCCUAGGUUUCGCGUCGGAAGUUCCGAAGAGAAGGAUAAGAGCCUUUGAGGAAGGCGGAGCUGGAAUCAGCGGUGGCGUGAACAGAGGAGCUGUGGUGAGGAAUGACUCUGGUAUUCGAGCCUCUCUCUGAGGACUCACACAGUGACUCACUUGGAUUUCUUAAAGAAACUCGAACGCUCCAACCCUCUGGAACCUUUUUCUGGGAAUUUUUUGUUCCUCCUUGGCAACAAUAAGACCCUGAUCACUGUUUCCAAUGACAAGGAUCUUCAUCGCAUGAUCAAGUUCCACGGUAAUUUUGCAACCAUUGAUGUUUAUAUCAUGGAAGAAGUAGCUCCUCCUGAUGUCUCGAGCAUGCCUACCAGUAAGUAGUUCUCUUAAUAUGUCAAGCAGGACAACUCUAUCAGAAACUGUGGUCCCAGUUGAUGCAUCUCUUGAUGUUGUGGACUUUAUGGGUGAUACCACCCAGCCUGAUAUCCCACUCAAUGCCUCGCUUGACGUUAUCAAUGAUGCCAGCCCUAUUGAUGCACAUACUGAUAUACCCACUGAAAUAUCACUCGUUUUUCCUCUUGUUAGCCCCAAUGAUGAGAAGCAUGCUAAAGGUGCACAGCAGUGGCAGAAUGCAAUUACGGGUGUGGGCCAAAUAUCCAGCAGCGUUCAUGAAUUUCGUGAAUCGUUGCGUAAAUAUGCCAUUGCGCGUCAGUUCGCCUUUAGGUAUAAGAAGAAUGAUAGUCAUCGUGUGACUGUCAAGUGUAAGGCUGAAGGCUGCCCUUGGAGAAUUCACGCAUCAAGGUUGUCGACAACUCCACCAGCGUGCUCCGGACGCACCAACUCCAGUAGCAUCAUGUUUUCCAAGGCAACAGUUGGCUGCUCCGACGUAGAGACUUCCCACUCCACCUGUCCCAGACUUUCCACCACAUGCCAUGUACCAAGUUGAACCUCCAGGCAUUGCUUCUUCCACCCCUCCACUGCUUUUGUCGGCAAAAGCAGAAAUGGAAACAGAGAACUUGAGUGCCAUUUACACCCUGCAAAGUAAAAGCAAAAGUAAAACAGAAAAAUGAGAGAAUGAGCGAGCAGAGCACAUGGGUCAUGCACUUUCUUAAACAGAAAAAUCAGAGGAGAAGCGAGGAGAGCACAUGGGUCAUGCACUUUCUUACUCACCAUGUGGAGGCAAAAUCUAGUCGGUUUGGCAAUAAACCUUGAAAAGAGGGAAAGUCUUCUCGACAGAAAAAUUAGAGAAUGAGCGAGGAGAUCACGUGGGAAACAAAAAAACAAAAGCAAUAAAAGUGCAGAGGAAAGGCAAAAGCAAUCAAGUGAGCUGCGGGAAACAAAAGCAAAAGCAAGGAAUAAACACCCACACUGCAAAAGCAAGGUAUAAACACCCCACCAGAAUGAUGUGAUUUGCUUUCCUUAUUUUUGAAAGAUGUAAUUUGUUUUUCGUAUCUUUUGAAGAUAUCUAUAUAACUCCAUCAGAGGGUGUAAAAAAUUUUUUUUUUAAAAAUGGCAAAGCCCAAAAUAAAUGGCCUGGAAUGUUGUGUAGAGGGCGAAUGCCUAUAAGCCCAAAAUAGCUUCAACCAGGCGAUCAAAAGUACCCCUAGUACUCCACAAUUAUUCGGCAACCCGGCACUUUUAUCGCCAACCAAGUGACCAAAAGUACGCAUCGGCAACCUGCCUCUAUUAUCACCAACCAGGUGACCAAAAGUACACCUAGUACUCCAAAAUUAUUCGGUAACCUGCCGCUAUUACCACCAACCAGGUGGUGAAAUGUACAACCCGUACUCUAAUAUCAUUUGGCAACUAGCCAUUCAUGUCACCAACCAGGUGAUCAAAAGUACGCCCAGUACUCCAAAUUAUACAUGAGCAUUACUCAUGUCAUUCAUACAUAAACAUUCAUGAGCAUCACUCAUGACAAUCAUACAUAAACAUUCAUGACCAUCAUUCAUGUCAACAUUCAUGAGCAUCACUCAUGUUAACAUUCAUGAGCAUCACUCAUGACAACAUUCAUGAGCAUCACUCAUGUCAAUCAACAUAAACAUUCAUGAGCAUCACUCAUGUCAAUCAGCUUCAAAAGCUUCAUUUACAGAGAUCUAGCUUCAAAAGCUUCAUUUACAGAGCUCUAGCUUCAAAAGCUUCAUUUACAAAAGCUCCAGCUUCGAAAGCUUCAUUUACAGAGCUCUAACUUCAAAGCUUCACUUGCAAAGCUUCACCUACAAAGCUUCAGUGUAGGGUAUACAAAUACCGCCUUCGAACAACCGCCACUUCGGCCCAUACAUGGAUUCAAUUUGAAGUCUCCAGCCAACAUACUCUAUUGAUCAAAGACUUAGGGGACUUCAUUAUGUACCAUAUAUUAGGUCUCAACUGGGCCUCAUGAAAAAUACUUGGGGGACUUAGCCCAUUAUUUAUGUAUUAAGGAGCGAGCCCUUAUUCUAUAAAAGGGACUCCCUUACCUUCAUUAAAGAGCAACGCCGCCAGCUGAGCAACCGCCUCGCCGCGAGCAUCACUCCUAACCCAUCACUUAUGUAUUGAGGAGCGAGCCCUUAUUCUAUAAAAGGGACUCCCUCACCAUCAUUAGAGAGCAUCGCCGCCUAUUGAGCAACUGCCUCGCCGCGAGCAUCAACUCUAGCCCAUCAUUUAUGUAUUGAGGAGCGAGCCCUUAUUCUAUAAAAGGGACACCCUCACCUUCAAGUGCCACAAGCCGAGCCAACCAAGGCAACAUAAACCACAAGCCGAGCAGCUUUGCAACAUGUGCUACUUAUAGUUGAGCAUAAUUUCACUUUGAGCACCGCCUCAUGUCGAGCAUCAGUUCAAGACAACAUCUAGUUACUUCAACCCACACAUUGACUGAAUUUCAAGUCUCCAGCUAAAAGACUCUCUUGACUGAAGACUUGGGGGACUACUGUUUAUACCAUAUUUAGGGCCUCAUAUUUAGAUCUCGUACAAAUACUCGGGGGCUUAAAUGUAAUUAUGUGAUAAAGGAAGGGGCAAUUAUGUAAUAAGUGAUGAGUCCUUAUUCUAUAAAAGGACCCCUCACCCUCACAAUUGAGGAGGCCGAUUCCUAGGCCCUCUCACCCCUUCUACUCUCAGAGCUCUCUCUCCCUCAAAUAAAUACAAUCAGUGUGGACGUAGCCCAAACCUUGGGGUGAACCACGAUACAUCUUGUGUUAUUUACAUUACUUGCAGAUUCACGGUCGGAUUUACAUUGUUCCAAGACUUCCAGUUUUAUGCAUUAACACAGGGUAUACAAAUACCGCCUCUGAACAACCACCACUUCGGCCCAUACAUGGAUUCAAUUUGAAGUCUCCAGCCAACAAACUCUAUUGACCGAAGACUUGGGGGACUACACUAUACACCAUAUAUUGGGCCUCAACUGGGCCUCAUGAAAAAUACUUGGGGGACUUAGCCUAUUCUUUAUGUAUUGAGAAGCGAGCCCUUAUUCUAUAAAAGGGACUCCCUCACUUUCAUUAGAGAGCAUCCAUUAUUCAUGUACUAAGGAGCGAUCCCUUAUUUUAUAAAAAAGACUCCCUCACCAUCAUUAGAGAGUAUUGCCGCCAGCUGAGUAACCGCCUCGCCGCGAGCAUCACUCCUAACCCAUCACUUAUGUAUUGAGGAGCGAGCCCUUAUUCUAUAAAAGGGAAUCCCUCACCAUCAUUAGAGAGCAUCAACUCUAGCCUAUCAUUUAUGUAUUGAGGAGCGAGCCCUUAUUCUAUAAAAGGGACCCCCUCACCAUCAACGCCAUAAGCCAAGCUAACCAAGGCAACAUAAGCCACAAGCAGAGUAGCCUCGCAACAUGUGCUACUUCUAGAUGAGCAUUAUUUCACUUUGAGCACCGCCUCAUAUCAAGUAUCAGUUCAAGACGACAUCUAGUUACUUCAGCCCACACAUAGACUGAAUUUCAAGUCUCUAGCCAAAAGACUCUCUUGACUGAAGACUUGGGGGACUACUGUUUAUACCACACUUAGGGCCUUCGUAUUUAGAUCUCAUACAAAUACUCAGAUACUUAAAUGUAAUUAUGUAAUAAAUGAAUGGGCAAAUAUGUAAUAAGUGAGGAGCCUUUAUUCUAUAAAAUGACUCAUCACCCUCACAAUUGGGAGAAGCCAACUCUUAGGCCUGAAGCCCCCUCACCCUCUCACAUCCUCUCUCACAUUACAGAGGUUCUCUCCCUCACAAUCCUCUCAGAGAAAUACAAUAAUCAGUAUAGACGUAGCCCAAACCUUAGGGUGAAUCAUGAUACAUCUUUUGUUAUUUACAUUACUUGCAGAUUCACAGUCGGAUUUACGUUGUCCCAAGACCUCCGGUUUUGUGCAUCAACACUAUAAACUCAGAUUCCAUAGUGGAGUGUGAUAUAACAGUUUGUUUCUUUGAUAUCCAAGAAACAGCACAUCCCCCAAUAGUGAAUAUCCAUCAUGUUAUGGAUUUAUUAUCGCUUGCGUUAGUGAGCCAACUAGCAUCUGAGUACCUUUCUAGUACCGCUAGAAAUCUUGAAUAAAAUAGACCCAAAUUAGUAGUCUUUUUAAGAUAACCAAAAGCUCUACAAAUUGCUUUCCAAUGUAAUGUGCUAGGGUUGCUAGUGUAUCUUGAAAGCUUACAAACAGCAAAUGCUAUAUCUGGCCUUGUAUUAUGUGAAGCAUACGUCAAUCCUCCAAUUACACUAGCAUACUCAAGUUGUGCAACUGAUCUGCCAGCAUGUUGAUCUUAGAGUCAUAAGGGGUUGGUACUUUUUUUAUUCAAACGCUUAUACUUCUAUAAUAAUUUUUCAACAUAGUGUGACUGGCAUAAUGCAAAACCCCCAUCAUGUCUCCUUACUUUUAUCCCUAAGAUAGUAUCCACUUCAUUCAAAUCUUUCAUUUUGAAAUUUGAAUUUAGAUACUUCUUAGUUUCGGAUAUAGCUUUCAUGUUGGUCCCAAAUAUUAGUAAAUCAUUUACAUAUAAGCAUAUGACAACACCAUAUUCAUCAGUGAAUUUCGAAUAAAUACACUUAUCGGCAUUAUUAUGUCUAAAACCAUUUGACAAAAUGACAAAUCAAAUUUUUCAUGCCAUUGUUUUGGCACUUGUUUUAGACCAUAUAGUGAUUUCACUAAUUUACAAACCUUAUUUUCAUUACCGGGAAGAACAAAUCCUUAUGGCUGCUCCAUAUAUAUCUCUUCAUCCAAAUCCCCGUUUAGAAAGGUUGUUUUCACGUCCAUUUGAUGUACAUAUAGGUUAUAUACGAAUGCCAAAGUAAACAACACUCUAGUGGAAGUGAUUCUUGCAACUGGUGCAUAGGUGUCAAAGUAGUCAACUUCCUUUUUCUGUCUAAAACUUUUGGCUACCAAUCAGGCUUUGAAGGUUUGCAGAGAACCAUCAGUAUUAUAUUUCCUUCUAAACACCCAAUUACAACCAAUUGGUUUUGAUCCAUGGUAAGUCAAACAAAGUCCAAGUUUGUUGGAUAACAAUGAGUUCAUCUCAUUAUCUACAGCUUCUUUCCAAAAAGCAACAUCUCUAGAAGUCAUUGCUCUUUUAAAGUUACAGGAUCUCCUUCUACAUUUAAAAUGAAGGGUAUUUUAUGUAGAACCUUUUCUCUGUUUCCUUCCACCAAAAAUAAAAUGGCUUCUGAAGAUAUAAAAUCAUGACCUAAAUUCUUUUCUUUUAUGACCCUUUGACUUUUCCUACGUUCUAGAACAUCUUCUAGUUCCUUUCUCUUUUUGGUGCCGGAAAUUGAACUGGGAUUUUUUUUCGACACUGAUUGUUGAUUAUGUUCUUCAACUGAACUAGGACUAGGGUCAUUAUAGAAUUUAUCCUCAAAGAACUUUACAUCUCUUGACUCAACAAUGAUAUUUGAGUUCACAUCAAGCAAUCUGUAUGCUUUAGAGUUCUGGGCAUAUCUUGCAAAAAUACUUUUUAUGCCUUUAGGACCUAAUUUGGACCUUUUAGGGUCGUGAUACCUAUAAAAUGACAAACACCCCCAAACUCUUAAAUAAUCCAAAUUUGGCAUUCUGCCCUUCCAUACUUCAUAUGGUGACACAUGAGUUUUCUUAGAGAUAAUUUUAUUUUGUAUAUGGCAUGCUGCAAAAAGAGCUUCACCCCCAUAAAUAGGUAGGAACAUUUGCACUUAUGAUCAUUGAAUUAAUCAUAUUAGUGAGUGUCCUAUUCUUUCUUUCUGCUAAGCCAUUUUGUUGUGGAAUGUAAGGUAGGGCUGGGUUCGGUUUGAAACGGUUCGGUUUUUUGCCAAAACCGAAACCGAACCGAAUUUUCGGUUCAGUUCGGUUCGGUUCAAAAAAAUUUCGGUUUUUUUCGGUUCGGUUUUUUUCGGUUUUGAUUUUUUUCGGCUCGGUUUCGGUUUAUUUUCGGUUUAUUUCCAUGAUUUUUUUUUAAUCUGGAAGAAAUCUGCAACAAUUGAGCAAUGGAGAUGCAGAAACUUCUGCAUCAAAUGAAUACAAACUGGGACGAUCGGCCAUGGAUCUGACAUUAUUGGGUGUCGGUGCGUAUUUCUUGUUGUGGAUCUGAGAGCUCUCGCAGAGAAAAUGCAUGCAUGUGUUAAAUCUUUUGAUUUUUCCAUGAAAAUAAACCCAAUAGAACUAAAUAGCAACCAUGAGAGUUUCUUACCUUGGGGGUUUAUUUUUAGUCCCAAAGCUCUCGCCAGCCAUGGAACACUUAUGCAUCUGCUACCAAAUUGGAAGAUUAAAAGAAAAACUUAUGCAUCUACUGCCAACAUGCAAAACCCCAACAAAAUAAUUAAAAGAAAAAACCCCAAAAACACACAGAAACAACAACAAAAUAAUUAAAAAGAAAUCUGCAACAACAACAAAAUAAUUAAAAGGAAAUCUGCAACAACAACAAAAUAAUUAAAAGGAAAUCUGCAACAACAAUCAUGGUUUGGAAGAAAGAAUCCGCGAGGAGGACAGGAGAAUAUUGGAGAGAGUGAUUUGGAGGAAGAGAUGAAGAGGAGAGAGAGAGAGAGAGAGAUAGAGGAAGCAAAGGCAGAGACUCAGGAUGAGCGGAGGGAGAGAGAGAGUUUGAGAAAAUGUGAAAACUGAAAUGGGAAUGUGAAUGACGGCUAGGGUUUGUAAGUUAAGAAAUUUUAUAAAGUGUUAACUAUUAGAAACCUAUAAAUCAAUUACCGGUACAAUUAUAACAAACCAAAGCUAACAGUCAAGUUGGCUUGAAACGAUUACCCAACCUGAGGUCAGGGGUUCAAACCCUGAUGCCAACAUAUUUUUUUAUUUUUUAUAUAUGAUUUUUUUUUUUCGGUUCGGUUCGGUCCGGUUCGGUUUCCGGACCUCAAAAACCGAAACCGAACUGGCCAUAUUCGGUUCGGUUCGGUUUUGGCAGUUUCGGUUCGGUUUUUUUUCGGUUUGGUUUUUUUCGGCUUCGGUUCGGUGCGGUUUUCGGUUUUUUUCGGUUUUCGGUUUUUUGAACCCACCCCUAAUGUAAGGUGCAGUUUUCUGAUGAAUGAUUCCAUGUUCUUCACAAAACAAAGAGAAUUCAUUUGAAAAAUAUUCACCACCUCUAUCACUCCUAAAUAUUUUAAUUGUCCUUUCCUUUUGGUUUUCAACCUCAGCCUUAUAUCGUUUGAAAAAAAACUCAAAGGCUUCAUCUUUAUUAGACAUUAAAUAAACAUAAGUAAAUCUAGAACAAUCAUCAAUGAAAGUAAUAAAAUAGUGUUUUCCUCCUCUAGUUAAAACACUAUUAAACUCACAUAUAUUAGGAUGAACUAAAUCUAAUAUUUCAGUAUUUCUUUCUACUUUUUGAAAAGGUUUCUUUGUAAUUUUAGCUUGUGUGCAGAUUUCACAAUUUUUAAAUGUAACAUCUUUACAAGAAAUUAAACCAUGUUUAGACAAAUAUUUUUAAGAUCUAUAAUUUAAAUAUUCUAAACGAGAAUGUCAUAAAGUAGAAGAAGAACCAACAAUAUAAACAGAAGAAUUCACUUUAUUGAUACUGAGUUUGAACAUUCCAUCAAAUGAAUAACCCUUACCAACAAAUACACCAUUCUUUGACAGUAUAAAUUUAUCGGCUUCCAACAUCACUUUAAUACCACUUUUACACAGUAAAUUUGCAGAUACAAGAUUUUUCUUAAUGUUUGGGACAUGAAAAACAUUUGUCAAAGUUAUUGUUUUUCCAUAAGUGAAUUCUAGUUCAACAACCCCUUUUCUAAGAACCUUAGCACCAUUGUGAAUUUGUGAUUGCCCAUUAGUACUUCUUGACCAUCCUCUUCAGUUUUGUAGAUCUUGAAUUGUGCUCUAUCAUUGCAAACAUGUAUGGUAGCACCAAAAUCAAGCCACCAUUCAAAAGAUUUAACAGCUGCAGCCAUGUUCAAUUCAGUGAUCAUGCCAAUUUGCAUUUCAAACACCAUAGCAAUUAUAUCUUCAGUAUGAGCUUCCUUUACCAUAUUUGCUUUAUUUAAUUUGGCGUCCUCAUUUUUCUUGAACCUGCAAUCACGAAUAAAGUGUCCUUUCUUUCCACAAUGGUCGCAAGUUGCAUUUUUCUUGCCAUUGUUGGUGCCAAAAGAUGUCUUUUUGAACUUUCCUAGGUUAUUUGCUUUCAAGUUCUUUUUGAACUUACUCUUGCUCCCUUCAAUAUAAUUAAUCUUAGUGAAGUCUUGUGAGAAAAAAUCUUUUUCUCGUUUCCGGGUUUCCUCUUCAAUUUGGAUCCUCUUCAAGAGAUAUUGGAGACUUAAAUAUUCUGCCAUAUGCAAAAGCUUAUUUCUAUAAUUGUUCCAACUAUGGGGUAAUUUUGACAUGAUAGCCCCUACUUGUAAUGCACCCGGAACAAUUAUUUUGACUUCACAAAGCUUUGUGACCAAAAGUAAUAAAUCUUGAACUUGAUCCACAAUGGAUUUGCCAUCAGUCAUUGUGAAUUCAUAGAACUUAAACAUGAUAAAUUUAUCAGUACUUUUUUUCUCCAAUGUUUAUUUCUCUUCAAGAGCAUUCCAGAUUUCCCUUCGAAAUUGAGUUGUGGAAAAUAAACUGUAGAGCCAAUCCGACAAAGUUUUCAAGAUAUGUCCUAUGCACAUCAAUUCAUCGUCUUCACGCUUCUUUCUGUUGGCAAUAAUUUGUUCAGUAUCUGCUUCAUUAGGUUCAAGAAUUGGCUGCAGAUUUGGAUCAAGAACAUAGGCAAUUUUCAGGGCCGUCAGCAUCCAGCGUAUUUUGUCUUUCCAGCGCAUGAAAUUGGUUCCAUCGAACUUGUCGAGUUUCCAGAAAGCACCGUUGUUCAUUGCAGAUAAAGCCAUAGUUUCGGACAUUUUCUCCAUUGCGAAUAUCACUUUAAGAUUGUAAGAAUAAGGUUGAGAAUUACACAGAAAAAUGACUUUGAGGCACGUAAAUACGUUUUUCUUAAAGUGAUAUUUGCCCCCACUCUAAUAUGAGUUUGCUAAUGGGUCUAAAGCAAAUCACUUCCAGGAUACAACAAAGUUUGGAAUUUUGGUUUAGCAAGAACUGAAAUUCCCUUAAAAUCUUCUAAAAGAAAACUGUAUGAUUUUGAUGGAGAGAAAGAUGAUAAGAAAAUAUUGUUUGAAGAAUUGUAUAUCCAAAUAUGCAACCAACAUAGGCUAUUUAUAGAUAUUAUGGAACCCUUUGAAGAUGGAUCAAAGUGUGCAUAUAAAAAGUCAUGUUCUUUCUUGCAUCAUUAUCACCGAAUGGAUGCAUCUUUUAAUCAAAGUCACACCCUACUGCAUCCUUUCAUUUUCUGAAAAGAUGCAAUCACAUUGCUAGUGACACGAAACUACAAGAAGUCAUAACUUUCUGAUUUCAUAGCAAGGGACAUAUCCCUUAGUUGUACUUCUUCAAUCCAAGAGACAUGGAACUGCAACCAUGCUUCUUCAAUUGAAAAGACACGUCACUGCAGCCAUACUUCUUCAAUACAAGAAAUAAGAGAAUGCAGCCAAUCUCUCACGCAACAUCAUGUGUGUGUGUGUGUAUAUAUAUAUAUAGAUAUAUAUAUAGAUAUAUAUAUAUAUAUAUAUGUAUUAUAUGUAUUAAUAGUUGAAUAUCAGUAUAUAUAUAUAUAUGUAUUAUAUGUAUUAAUAGUUGAAUAUCAGAGUACGUAACGAACAAGACUACAAAAUAAUAAGAAUAUUAUUAAACUAACGAAAAUGCCGGAACGGCUACAAAACCCUAGAAGGCUACAUUGUAACUAACUUGUUUUCUAAUGAAUAACAAAGCACUCUAUUUGUAAUAAACUAACCCUAACCCUAACCCUAACAGGUUAGGCCCAAACCAAACUUAUAAGAAAACCCAAAAUAUAAUACCUAAAAUACUAAUAUAGUCCAACAUUAAUGAAAUACACCAACAAUAUAUGCGUGAAUGAAUUUAGUUUCGGAUCAUUAAAUGAGUUUGAGUUUGAGUUUGGUUUGUUUAGAUGUACCUGGGUGAAAUUACAAUUCACCAUUAACACAAGUGUUGAUGCAAUCAUCAUCAUCAAUUUAUCAUAUAUGGAAAUUGGGGGCUUAUUAAUACAUGUUCCAUUGUGCAUGCUUCAUAAAAUAUCAGAGACCAGGCUUAGUUAUUAUUUUCUCGUUCAAAGGUGUAAACCUUGCAAGGACCUGCAUGUCUAACAAUAUAGUGGGAUCAUGACUGAUAAUCAUAAGUACAUACAGAGAUAUCUUCUAAGUUCUAUGAGAAUAUAGAAAUCUCAAUGUAUAAAUCACGGGCUUCUCCUCUAAUAAUCCACUGGUUUUUUUAUUGCAUUCUCUAACUCUGACAAGGUGUGUGAGUGGGACAAUUUAUCCAUCUGUAUGGCUCAGACCAGCCACACAUGAGGUUUGAAAAUACAAAACUCUUAAUUCGUGUAUCUCAACAUAUACAGUCUUGGGCCUCUCCACUAGUAGCUAUUUGGUUUUAUAUUGGAUGGUUCAACUUUAACACAGUGCAAUUUAAAUUGGUCACCUUCGUACACACUAUAGAUACUAUGCUGUUUUGCUUAUUGGUUUGGGCAUAAGGAUAAGGGACAAAAUCAGUCCUCUAAUUAAUCAAACAACAGUGUACUAGGAUAUGUACUUAAGGUUUUAGGGUUUAGGUUUACAAGUUUGGAAUUCAUUAUUGUUGAGAUGGAAUAUUGGAAAUUAUAUAUUAUAAUACAAAAAUAUUGUAAUAUAUAAUUUUAAUAAUUGAAUGAAAAAUAGUGUUAACCAUAUUUCUUAGAAAAAUGUUAUGUUAUUCAGGUGCAUUCCCUUGUCAAAUAAUGUAUACUUAUAGGUGAAAAGUUACUCUCUUUAACAAGAAGUACUUGAGUUCUAUAUAAACUCAUGAAACCAUUAUUAUUAAUAUAUACAAAAUUAGAGUUAAUUUUUACUCUUGAGAAAUAGGGUUUUCCCACUCUAUUUCUCUCAUUCUUCGUUUGUCAAAUUCCAAGUCGUACAUUGAGAAUACGGAAUAUAUAAAGUUUGCCAGAGUCCGAAGAUUGAAGUGUUUUUUACUUCGGAUUAAAGAUUGUUGAAUCCUAUGAGACAAACGCCUACCGAACUACAAGCACACAAGAGUAGGGGCGAAGUUCUGUUUUUAGGACAUUGCAUUUAUGCAAGCCUCAAUCUCCAAAUUUGUCAGUUUUUCUAACUUUCUCUCUAGUUGUUGAUAUUAAUUUUGUACACAUGUGAUGUUGUGAAUUUCUUUACUAUUAUUAUUAUUGGAAUUAUUUUAUAUUUCUCAAAUUUUCUAAUAUUGCUCCAACAUGAAAUAAUGCAUUUUUCUGCAUAUGUAUGGACCCUUUUUAUUAUAAACAUUUAAAAGGUUUUGGCUGAGCUACAAAAUACUGUCUCUAAUCCCUGAUUAACAGAACAUGAAAAGUUCCAAGGAAAAUUCAUGGUCGAAAUUUCUAUAAACUGAAAAGAAAAAAAAAAGAGGCAUACAGCGGUUAUUUAAUUAUUUUCCUACAUCUACCAGUGGACAAUUGAUUUUCUAGUUUUUUUCUUUUUGUCAAAUCUUACAUCUCGUUGAAACUGAUUAAGUUUCACUCUUUAGAUUAAUGGGUUUGUACAGAGUGAAGCUUCCAAGAACUGCACAAAUAAUUCAUAGGAACAUUGGUGUAUCUCAAGGUCCUACUGUGAAAUCCCUUCUGGAGGUGGAAGCUAACAAAAGUGUACUGUAUCGCAGGUGAAUGUCAUGCUUAAACCCGUGACAUGUACUGGGAUGAGAAACCAGGUUGGAGACCUAUCCCUCCUCAAACCCGUGAGGACGAUCACCCACCACCGUAAGAGAAACCGAGCGAUACGUGUACGUGUAUCUGUCAAAGGAAAUACAAAGACGAGGAGUAUGGGAAAGUAUCUGACAAACGAAUUAGUUCCUAACUUACCUACAUGAAUAGAAACGAAGAGGACUGCAUCCAUGUUUGUACACGGAGGAGAGGCUGUACCGAAUACCGAUCCAUAUUAAGACUGGGAGAAAUAGUCUUGUGUAUUAUAAAGAAAUCUUUUUCAGGUGUAUCAUUCAUAAUCUUCAUAUGUAGCUCCAAUAAAAGAAAUGGAAAACUUUAUAUUAAGAAUCGGUGCCUGCAACUGGCACUGAUUACAUUGGAGUUGCAUAGUACCAACGAUUCGGACUUAUUACAUUGAGGCUACACGUCACUUAGAUGCGAAAUUUAGUAUGAUCAAGUUAACAUUUGAUUUCUAUCCUCCCACAUUUUCCUUUCACUAUGUCUUCUCGAAACUCAAACAUCUUGCAUUGGCAUCACCCUCAAAUGCUCGGCCUCACGUUAAGACGAGAUGCCAGUUUUUGACCAAAAGAUCGGUCAGCCUGCAUUUCAAUUACCACCGGCACACAUCAUAUUCGAGUAAAAAGUCACAUCCAAUUAUACCAAUUCACAAAUGCGAAUACUUUGCAUGUAUGCACUCACCUGAGACCAGUAUGAGAUCCAAAUGCUGCGAAUUUCAUAGGUGACACGAGGAUCGGAUAGGGCAUCAACCCAUCGGUGGAGGAAUCGCUCUUGCCUGCAAUGAACAUUUAGAUUAUGAACAUGACGUUUAAAACUUUAAAUACAUUUAUUUCCGCAUAGAGACAUCCUAGGGUUGGCAGCUACCUGUCGGGUGCCCAAGAUCUGUAUCUCUCUCCAGGUUGCUUGAAGUUGUUCUCCUUCUCAAUGACGCACUGCAUAUCCAACAAAACCACCAUACACAAAUUAAACGCAAAGUUGCUACAUGAAUCAUGAUGUGCAGCACACCAAAAGGAUUCAGAAAUGCAACAAGCAUUCAUGCAUGUAUCUAACUUUUUACAUUCCAAGUGCUUUCAAGUUUCAGGUAAAAAGAAAAACACAGAAAACAAGAACAUGGGAAAACCAAGGGAAAUUUAAAUGAAUUCUUCUACAUUGAUACAAACUGACCUUCUCACGCUUUCCAGUGCAAAUAUUAGAAGGAAUUGGGAAGGUCUCAGCAUGGCGAACAGGAUCAUACCUUGAUGGGAAGUAGUUAACCUACAGAAAACAGAAUGGCAUCUGAGCAGAGAAAACUUUGAUGAACAAACAAGUGAAAAUUUAAGCACAUGUCUGAAUCUUUAGCAACGCAAGUGUAAAAAGGCUACAAGGCAGUCAAUAAGUGUCAGCAAUUGAGGGAAAAAGUGGUAUCGUACUUGGAAAAGAAAUUCAAAAGAGCAAAAGUACCUCCUCAUCUCUGUGCAUGAAAUUCAUAAACCCUUCAUGGUGAUUGUUGUGAUGAGAACACUUGGGAGCAUUAACUGGGAGCUGCAGAUAGUUCGGGCCAAGACGGUGCCUCUGAGUAUCAGAAUAGGAGAAGAUUCGAGUUUGGAGCAACUUAUCAUCUGAAUAAUAGACACCAGGGACAACAAUGGCAGGGCAGAAAGCUAGUUGUUCAUUCUCUGCAAAGAAGUUAUCAAUGUUCUUAUUCAGUACCAAACGUCCAACUGGCUGCAGGGGAAGAAUAUCUUCAGGCCAGGUCUUAGUAACAUCAAGUGGGUCAAAGUCAAAUCUGUCUUCAUGAUCAGGAUCAAUUGUCUGAAUAAAAAGUUUCCACUCCGGGUAGUUGCCAGCUGCGAUGGAGUCAUAGAGAUCCUGGGUAGCGUGGCUGUGAUUUGCUCCUCCAACCUUGAUAGCCUCAUCCUCCAACAAACACUUGACUCCACAAGUGGGUUUCCAAUGAAAUUUCACGUAGUGUGCCUUCCCGGUCUUACUGAUAAGAGUAUAGGUGUUAACACCAGACCCUUCCAUGUGCCUGUAAUCUUGUGGAACUCCCAGGUCAUCCAAUAGGAAGGUGAACAUGUGCAGGCUUUCUGGAUGGUGGGAGAAGAAGUCAAGGAUCCUCCAAUUCUCUUGGAUGUGGGACUUAGGGUUCGGUUUGAGAGCAUGGACCAUGUCCGGGAAUUUCAUUCCAUCACGGACAAAAAAGACGGGGAAAUUGUUUCCCACCAAGUCAAAAUUACCCUGUUUAAGAAAAAUAAAGUCACGGCAUGAGUAAAGAAAGGAAUGCAUGUAUAAACAAGCAAAAACAUUAGGACCAAAUGAUUUCCAAGAGUUAGUUAAUAAUAAUGUUACAAAGAAAUCAACAAUCUGUAGAAUCAAAACAAUAUUUAAAAAAGAAAAGAAAAGCAUGAAUGCCAUAUUUCACGGAAGUCACAAGACUACCGGGUUUAGUUAAAUAUGAAGUAUUUGUCACUGGAGCUGUGACUCGAGAUACCACUGCAUAUUUUUAACUAUAAAUAUGCUGUUGAAUAUAAUUAUGAUCAUCGACGUGUCAAAACUCAACCAUCAUUAUCCAGAGGUCAUAAAACAUCAAUAAGCCAUUGAAACGUCACCUCUCUGGUGUAAAACUUCACUGCAAAACCACGAGGAUCCCUCAGGGUUUCAGGGCUGCCACGCUCAUGGAUAACAGUGGAGAAACGCACAAUGACAGGUGUCUGAACUCCAGGGGCUCGAAGGAAGUCAGCACAUGAAAGGUGAGAAAUAUCAUGGGUGACCUCAAAGAAACCUUUUGCACUGGCUCCCCUAGCAUGGACAACACGCUCUGGGAUCCGUUCUCUAUCAAAAUUGGCGAGUUUCUCCACCAGAUGGUAGUCCUCAAGCAGAAUUGGACCUGACAAAUAGACAAAUAAUUAAAUUCUUAACUGCAUCUACUCAACUCGACAUAAUCAACCAUCCUGAUUACAUGCAAAAGAUGUGAUAAAAAUGAAAUUAGCGGCUAUACAUUUUAUAAAGUAUGUCAAAUAUAGAUGACUGCUCUCACUUGCAAAGAUAGUAACUUUUAUUUAGUUUCAGGCAACCAGGCGAUCAAAAAAUCAUCUUGACAACCCAAGAAGCAAUGAAAAAAAGGGACCCGCAGGAAUUCGUUGAAAACCAACAGACUGGGAACUAUAGUUGAGAAAUUUGAACAUAAAUGUCAAAUAGGGAAAAUUCUAACUUCAAAUACAAACUAUAUAAAUAUGCGUGUAUAUAUAUAUAUAUAUGUGUGUGUGCAUAUAUAUCUGAAAAACAACAAGAGUUUCAAAAUAAUAAUCAUCUUCAACUUGGUAGUGAUACAAACGGAGGAGGAUUCUCUCCCCUCUUAAUCUCUCUCUCCUUCCCUCCGCUCCUAUUUGAACGGUCACAGGUCACGGUUAAGCCACGUCAACAUCUUAUAUUGAGUUUUUUUUUAUAGAAACAAUAAGACAAAAAACAAUGUAUGAGAGGAGGGGAGGGAAGGGGAUGAAAAUAAGAGGGGAGAGAAUCCGAUACAAACAUCCAAAAAGUCAUCUUGUAGCUCACAAUAACAUAGACAGAAUAUCCGCGCAUACAAAGAUAACAGCAUCAAAACAUGAUUAUGAUUAUUCGCAAGGUGCUUGAAAAGCGAUGUGCAACUAAAAAAACGCAAAAAAGUAAAACUUGAAGCAAAUUUUACAAUUGAAAAUCCGUCAAAAGCAAAUAAACAAAUAGAUAAAUUAAAGGUGGAUAAAGAAUUAAAUCACCUCUGGGUCCAACAGUGAGAGAAGAGUUGUUGUUCCAAACUGGAGCACCAGAAUUGGUGGUCCAGAACGGGGAAUUGAAAGCACUUGAAGGGCGGUGCUGCAACAACACACAAAAACAAACAAACCCAAAUCCAUUAGAGAGGGCUCUGUUUGGUAGCCGAGAAAAUAAACAAGAAAAGUAAUUCAACAAGAAAAUCAAACUUAAAUAAAUCAAUUAAGAGCAUAAACAAGUAAAAAAGAAAA